Molecule: long non-coding RNA, 51581 nt
Filed under: Amborella trichopoda
Lineage: Eukaryota; Viridiplantae; Streptophyta; Magnoliopsida; Amborellales; Amborellaceae
Description: long non-coding RNA (ATRI_LNC000176)
Source: RNAcentral
UGAAAACUUGUUUUUCUCAUGUCCAUACAUCUUGAGGUUGAGAUGAUCGAAUUGAGGGCUUUUCGAUAUUGAAACAACUUUUUUUAAUGAAAUUUUGAACUGUGCAUAAAUUUGAUUGUUUAGAACCCCGCACUUAUAUAAACCUUUUCCAUAUUAGAAAGGGUGCAAUUUGUAUAGGGCCGAGGCUCUAAACAAUCAAAGUAAAGCUCACCGUCAAAUAUUGUCGAGAAAUAUGAUUUCAAUACCUGAAAUCUUUGUGAUGACCUUGAAAUAAAUUUUCAUCCUUAAUUAUAAAAUUAAAAGCUUCAAAAACUAGUAUAGAUCGAGCAAAUCUAUUAACACGUGAAAAUAUUGAAAAUUGAUGAUAAUACAUUAUAGGAUGCACUAUUUUUAAUACUUAAAAACUUGUUUUUCUCAUGUUCAUAUAUCUUGAGGUUGAGAUGAUUGAAUUGAGGGUUUUUCAGCAUCAAUACAACUUUUUUUAAUGAAUUUUUUAGGUACCCAUUAAUUUGAUUGUUUAGAGCCUUGCAUGUAUGUAACCUUUUUCCAUAUUAGAAAAGGGAAAAAUUAGCCAAGUGGAUAUGUUAAGAAAAAUAAAGGCCUGUAUGAAUAUUGUUCAAAAUGCGCAUUCAUGCCACACGCAUUUUGAUGGCCAUUUAGCUUGCGCCAGAAUAUGUUUCAGUGGCUUUCUUGUACACCCUUCAGAACCCCACUGAUUCAAAAAACACUGCCAAUUUGCGUAAUUAAAAAUUAGAAAAAAUUAGUUAUAAUUAGCAAAAAGUUUAUAUAGGGUGUCAAUUUGAGACCAUAGGAGUGAGGCGUACAUCAAAAAUCCAUGGGAAGACGUUAUUCUGACUUGAAAAAACUCAAAAUUUAUGGAUAUUUAAAAUUAAUAAUUUUAAAUCUUAAAAAUAAUGUAUCUUAUAAAAUAUUAUUUGAACCAUACGUUUUUAAGAUUUUCAACUGAUUAUAGAUUUACAUGCUCCAGACAAUUUUUAGAGCAUUAAGUUUUAUGAUGGGGGAUAAAACCAUAUUUUGAUGCUUUUUUAGAUUUUUGGAACCAGAACUACAUCUUUUAACCGGACUUAGAGGUUUGACUUUGAUUCUUUUAGGGCGUGAUUGAUAAUAGGAAACCAGACUUAGAGGUUCGACUUUGAUUCUUUUAAGGCGUGAUUGAUAAUAGGAAGUGGCUUUUGGAAGUUCAGAACUUCUCAACUUUCAUGUUUGAUAAAAAUGAGAACUCCAAAUAAAAACUUUAGUUUGCUGUUGAUCUUCCAACACCACCAUUUUGUAAAAAAAGUUCCGACCCAAAAGUCGGAACUCAAAAUUGCCAAGUUCGUAACUUCCUCUCGUUCUGUAACCCUAGCCUCUUUUCUCUUCAUCGCUGGUGAGCACCCACCCCGAUAAGCACCUCUCUCUUCGCAGCUUCCCAUCUUCGCCGCUGAGAAAUCCAGACAUACAAAGUAACCCCCAUUAAAUGCCCACGCUCCUCUCUCUCUAAAAUUUCUCUUUCUCUCUCAUGGUUUCCAUUUGCUCACACCGCUUGUGCCAGAAGAAGCUUGCUCCAGUGACUAGGGUUUUUUUUUAUGUUUCCUCCAUUAAGAUCACGGUAAGAACUCUCUCUCUUUCUCUGUUUUUUACUUGCUCUGUUUUUGUUUUUUGUUUUAUCCCUCUGCCUUGCUUUUUGCCCUAGAAAUUUUGGUUUCUCAAUUGUUUUUUUUUUGAUGGAUUUCUGCACUUUCCGUGCACGUUCUGCAGUAUAGAGUGCUGACCUGGAAUUUUGUCUUUGGCAUUUUAGGGCUCUUGAGGUUUUAUGCCCUUUGGCGGCAAAGUGAUUGCUUUCCUGCUUUGUUGAUUUGUUAUUUUUAUGUAAGUUAAUCACCUUGCUUCUCAUGUUGCUUUGAAAUUUUUGGUUAUAGUUCAUUGCAUGUUUUUGAAGUAAUUUGAUUGUUUCACUGUAUAAUUUUCCUUGCUAGGCCUCAUUUUCUUCCAAUACUUGGAUUUUUUGUUUACACUUUUUACCUUUUUUUUUUUUUUUUCUUUUUUUUUUUUUUGUUGACCAAUUCCUUUGUUCGCUUCAAAUUGGGCUAAAAAAAUGUUCGCUUCAAAUUGGGCUAAAAAAUGGGUGAGAAAAUACGUUCAUGGAAGGAGAACCUAGCUCCUUUCAAUUUUUAUUCUUAAUUUUGGAUGAAACUGCUGAAUUAAUAAAGAAAAGGGUUUUUUAUGUUUGGAUUCCUUCUGUGUAUCUUUAUACUAAAUCAUUUCAGGGUUUAUUUGCUGAAAUUUAAGUCCAAUUAUCAUUUAAACAGAUGGUUUGUGCACAUGAAAGUCAGAAAUGUAAUUUCUUCAACUAUGAUAUGGCUCGAUUGAUUCUGGGGAAUUUGUUCCAAAACAUGGCUACUAUAUGACGGUUUUGGCCUGCCUAUAACUAAAACAAAGCAAAACAAUUGAUAUCCAUCUUAAAGCUUAUUUAGACUAAUCACAUUCAUAUCUAUCUAGUUCCAUGACAUUGGAAUUGAAUUUUUUUCAGUGGAAUCUAGUAUGUGAAAAGCUCAUUUUCACAGAACAAAUGCUAUAGUCAUCGCAUGCAUCUCGGUGGCCAAAAAUUGAUGCCCUGAAGACUUUUUCUUGAUCACCUAACUUUUUUGUUUUGAUGCAUAUAGGUCACUUAGACCAUCUAAUUUGUGGUAUCUUUUUGGAUUUUAGAUUUUCUGAGGUUCUUUACCUACAUUUCAUAGUUCAUAGGGUUUGAUAGUAAAAUUAUGGUAUUAAUGUUCCGUUACAUUCUUGCAUCUGGUUUUUUUUUAUUUUUUCAUUAAUUUCUUUUAAUGUUAAGCCUAUUUAUUGUUAUAUGCAUCUUACAAUGUAAGUCAUUAUGUAUAUGUAACAGUAUGAUCUUUGAUUUGGAGCCCAUGUAUAUGUAACAGUAUGAUUUUUUAUUUGAAAUUUGGAACCCAUUUAUAUGUAACAGUAUGAUCUUUGCUUCCUUCUCCAUUUUCUUGAGAUGGUGUGUACCUUCUUUGUGUUGGAAGAAUGGUACUUGUGGUUGAAUUCUGUAUUGGGGUGUUGGUUUUUAUAUUGUUCUUGUGUAUGCUGAUUUUUGUGCAAUUGCGCGCCUGAUGAACUGGUCAAUUGCACUACUUUCACUUUGCACAUGCACUUACCAUUUUGCAUAUCUAAUAAUUAUAUUAUCACUAUUUUGUGUACAAUUUCAGGCCAAACUUACAGAAGUGGCACAAGAACGGGGCAGAGGAAUUCAUAUAUUCACAAACUUGGCUUCUAUACCAUUUGAUGGGACCCUGGCUUAGAUACCAUUUAUUUUGGUAUGGACUAUAGGCCGGUUUGGAAAAUAAAUUGCAUUUUUAUCAUUUGGUGUUAGUGGUGGGCAUAUAACAAAUGUAACUCUCGCCAAUGGGAUAAAAACCAGUCUUUUCUCUAAUCCAAUACAAAUAUCCAGUUCUUCUUUAACUUUCCAGGAGGUUAUUAAACACAGAAACCACGAACUUCUUAAUUUCUCAAGAGGUUAUCAAACACAGAAACCAAAAACUUAUUAACUUCCCAGGAGGUUAUCAAACACGGACACCAGUAACUUCUUAAGUUCACAGUUCUUCGGGAACUUCUAAUUUAUAGUUCAUGAACUUGUUUCUAGUUAUCAAAUAGGCCCUUAGAGUGAGUACAUUGUGAAAACCUUUCCAUUAUAACUAUGGAAGCAAAAGCAAACUUUCAUACACUAACCCGUAGAAGAAACAAGCUGUAAAACUAGAAGCCUGAAGUGUUAAAAAUGUGGUUGUUAAGCAACAAUUGUGAACAUUUAUUAGGAAAUGAGGAUGCACCCUUACUUAUUAAUAGAAGUAAUGUUGCAUUACACCGACUAUUUUAUUUGAACCCUAUAGAUUGACAUUGUCUCAAAAGACGUACCUCAUUUUUGACACUAUCUCGAAAGUAUUAGUACUUUUAGGUAUUUCAAAAUAAUAUAUGUUUUAAGUAUAGCUUUCCCAAGUUCUUAAAUAAUUGAGGGAGAAAGUAGUGAGUCCCACUUGACGUGUAUGCUUGUAUCAACGCAAAGACUUCCUUGCAAGAGUGCGAAUCAGGCUUGUAGAAAUGAAAACCACAACAUAGUGACUAUAGUGUGGGGUACUACCAUCACGACUCAAACCCCUUUCCCAGAUAGGGGAGUUAAAUGGAAAAAUAUUGACAUUUCCAUUUUGAAAUAAAUGAGGAAGGGCGCCUUGGUGGUUACAAAAUAGAAAUGUUACUCUAUUUCGAGCUCCUUCCAAACCUUGGACCGUUUACUUCAAAAAUUUGGGUACUUUUUGAAAUUUGACAUGAACUUAUAGGACUUGCACUGUUAAAUUAACCUUCCACUAGAAUUAGGACUAAUUACCAUGGCUUCCCCAAACAAGAAAAUUUUCCAAAGGGGGCAGAUUUUCUAACUCAUUCUCUUUAUAGUCCAUCGUGAUGAGACUAUUUAUCUUUGGUACAAAGUGGUUAUAAUUAAUAUUGAUUAUUAGAUGUGGAAUUAGAUGGCUGCAUUUAUUCCAUUAACCAAGUUCAAAUUUCAAAAAAAGCACAAAAUUGAACUUUGUGACACACUCAAGAUAUCAUAUUUCGCAGUAGAUAGUUACAAGCAAUUGUGGCCUCCUCAUAUCAAAGAUAAAUGAUCUCAUUGUAAACAAAUAAUUUAAAUACCAUUUACAAUUUAAAAUUGAAAUACAUGAAAGAUGUACCAUGACAGCAUCAAGCUGUAUGUCAUAUUUGUACAAAUUUCACCAUUGGAUCGAUUGGAGUCCCUAAUGACACUGGUAAUUUACUAUUUCAAUAAAAUUGAUUUUGGUAGUAAAUUGAUUAUUGUUUGGCAGCGUUCUUUAUAACCUUAGUGGCAGUCUUAUGUAUGGAAAAAUAGACAAUUUACUUUUAACACAAGAAAGUCGUAAUCACUCUUGUCCUGUAAAUUUCAAAUCGGAUGGUUGUGAGCAUAUCAUUGCCUAGAUUCAAAUUUCAAACAAAAAUAUUUUCUUGAACUUGGCGACACCCCAAAAUAUCUAAUUUGAUAUCUAAUAGCCAAGAAUAGUUAUGACCUACUUAUAAGAAAGAUAAAUGGUCUCAUAGUAUACAAUCUCCAAAAAUCAAAUUUCUUUUAUUUUUUUGUUUUUGAAAUUGUUCUCCUAAACUCAAUUUUGGUUUUUUUAAUUUUUUAAUUUUGAAAUUGUUCUCCUAAACUCAAUUUUAACAUUAAAGAAAGUAAUUUUUUUUUUUAAUAUAGCUGAAAAGCAAGCAAAAAUAAUCAAACAAUUUUAUAUAUAGGAAAAUAAAGCUAGGUAAGUACCAAAGUCUUUCACAUCAGGAAUGCAGUGUCUUACACCUAGUUUUCUCACACAAAACCUAGUAUUCAAAUAAAAUCUUGGAAAUUGUCCACGACAUCAUGCACCAUUAUUGAAUCUUAUGAUUCACGUCCCCAAACUUAAAUAAAAUAAUAGCAAACAAUAUUUUGCAACCCCAAUAUCAAGAGGUAUGCUGUCAAUUUCUCUGUUGCAUUACACAGAUCAAGAUCCCCAUCCUCCAUUAAGUAAGCACAAAUUAUAAUAAUCAACCAUAAAAUAAACUGGACUCCAGAGCCUAACGAUCAAUGAAAGAGUUUGUCACACAAGUAAACCAUGUUCUUCUUCCUUUUUUUUUUUUAUAAUUUUCACAAUUAAACAAUCUUCAUCAUCGCCGUUUACGUUAAUUUCAUUCAAAAGAGAGAUCCUAGGAAUUUGAAAUUAGGGCUUGUGAAGAGCCCUACCAGCUAAUAAGGCUGCCUCAAUAACCACAUAAAUUACAUCAAUCACCUCCUGAACGUCACACUUAUUUCCCUCAAACGAAGGACGCCCUGAUGCUCUGAACUCAGAAAUGCAGUCAAGAAACUCUUGGUUACACUCUUGGCUCAGGUAGUCUUCUGUCAAGAUACAUAAACAAUUCGUCUCUUUAAUACAAAAGAUUAUUUUAUAGGGAAUUUAUUAAAGGGUGAGGUCUAUAUAAGGCGUCCUGUUUAUACUGUAGAAGAAGUAAUGUGCACCUCUAAAUUUUUGCUCGGUUAUGUAGUUUUGAUAUUAGAAACCUUUAUAAUGGCUUCAAAAUCUGUUUUUAUCUCUAGUUAUGAAAUUUAAAAUUCUAAAAUUCGUACAGAACAAACAAAUCUAUAGACACUUGAAAAUCUUGAUGGACGGUCUAGAUAACUCAAAAUGUACUAUUUGCUGGACUUGAAAUUUUUUAUUUUUUAUCAUAUCCAUACAUCUCAUGGUUGAGAUGAUCAAUUGGAGGUAUUCUAAUGUUGAAACUUCUAAAGGAUUUUGGAAGUGCACUCUAGUUCAAUAAUAUAAGGGAUCCUAUACAAUGAGAGCAUUUACCUUUGGUACAAGAGAUCACAAUUACUUAUGACCAUCUGAUGCAAAAUAUAAUAGCUUGGGAUUAUUACAAAGUUUGAGAAAUUUUCUUUUGAACUUUGAGCUUGAUCAAUGGAAUAAAUACAACAACCUAAUUUCACAUCCAACGGUUAAUAUUAUUUGUGACUACCUUGUACUAAAGAUAAAUUGUCUUAUUUUAUACUUUUCCAUAAUAUAAGGUUGAUGCUUUAGAUAAACUUUUUCCUUUAUCAAAAUACACAUCACUAUUAACUAUUUAAUAUUGAGAAGGGUAUAUAAUAAAACCAUUUACCAUUAGUACAAGGUGGUCACAUUAAUCUUGACCGUUGGAUGUAAAAUUGGUUGGCUACAAUUAUUCCAUUGACUAAGCUCAAAGUUCAAAAUAAAUUUUUUAGAAUUUUGUGAUACAUUCAAGCUAUCAAAUUUCACAUCGAAUUGUUGUAAACAAUUGUGACUACCUUGUAUCAAAAGUAAAUGGUCUUAUUUUAUACAAUCACUAUUUACCUUUGGUACAAGUGGUUACAUUAAUUUUGACAAUUAGAUGUAAAAUUGGCGGUCCCCAAUUAUUCGAUUGAUCAAGCUCAAACUUCAAAAAGAAAAUUUUUGGAAGUUUGUGAGACAUCAAAGCUAUCAAAUUUCACAAUAGAUGGUUAUAAGCAAUGGUGACCACUUUGUAUCAAAAGUAAAUAGUUCCAUUAUAUACAAUUCCUUUAAUAUUUUACCAUUUUGGACUAUUUCAACUUAUAAUUAUGUGGAUUUUGAUGGCUUUUUGAAAUUAAAUAAUUAUGUAGAUUUUGAUGGCUUUUUGAAAUUAAAUAGAAAACCGGUAAAGUAUGAAGUGGUUAAUCUUUUUCGUACAAUUUGAUAAAUUUCCUUUGUGCUCCUACGCCAUUAAUCUUUCAUUUAAGGGGGUUUAAUUUUGCUCGUGAAUUGGUGUCUUAAGAAUCAUUUAACUUGCAAUAAUUGCAAUUUUGAUUGUGAUUACUAAAACCAAAGGGAAACAAACUUUUAAAUCACCUAUUUUAUAUGUAAGGAAUACUGUGAUCCAUGUGAUCAUGAGGUCAUCACCUGUCCAUCAUUUGAUUGGACGGUGAUAGAGGGAGAGUUUUGACAACAAAGCAACUCUAUCUCCCACUCUCCCUCAACGCCAUCCAACCCAUCAAUUAGCCAGUGAUGACCCUCAUGACCGUUGACAAUAUAAGUGCAAAAUUUUCAUAUAAAUUAUAAAAUAAUUACAGUGACUACGUACGGACCUUAAAGUUUUAGAAAAAAAUACAAAAUGUUUAAUUUAUAAAAAAAAAUUACAAAAAAAAAGCCGAUCAACUCAUUUUUUUUUUUUUUUUUUAAAUUGACCCUCAGUCAACUCAAAUUUCGAUGCUUGCAUUUUUUUUUUUUUUGUUAUUGUCUUAAAAGCUCCGGGCACAGACCUACUUGUAAAAAAAAUUCUAGGGUCCGCAUGUAAAUCACUCAACAACUUGAUGAAUGACCUACCGUUUUUGGCUUGCACGCAAUUAUCAUGAGUUUGGCAGCAAGCAUCAAGGCCAUCGCACGGACCCUCGCCUGGGCAUCCGCUGUAACCGAGCCCACAAUAUUUUCCAUACCUCAGCAGUGGAGGAACUGCAUUUUAAUGGAAACCAUUUAAACUCAGUAAGAGAGAGUGUACUGAAAGGGUCAUGCCAAGAAGUAUCCUCACAGAUACCUGACAAUGGCCUGUCCGCCAAAGAAAAGUUCAUAUCUAUCAUUUAAACUAGAUUUUAUACUCCCGGCUAACUUAAAUAACGUGUGGAAUGAAUGAACCAGCGUUUGGCCAUGGAAAAACACCACAACACAUAUGAGAUAUAUGAUCUUUUCCGUGCAAAGUUUCUCAGUGGUAUGCAUCUAGAAGUGUUUCAAGAAAAAUGAGAUAAGAUGCAGAGAAGUAAAAAGAACAGAAGGGUGAAAAAAAAUGGUAGAAAUGAACGAAAUGUACAGUUGUUUGUACAAAAAGUCAGUUUUGCAGAGGUUUUACACAAGAUAUGGUAAAUAAAAAGAAAAGUGUGCGGUUUGUAUGGAGCCUAAGCUCUAAACAAUCAAAUUAGAGCCUAUCUUCAAAUAGUAUCGAGAAAUGUGAUUUCGAUACUCGAAAUCUUGUGAUAGUCUUAAAAUGUACUUUCACUAUUAUUUAUAAAGUUUAAAGCUUUAAAAAUGGUGAAGAUCAGCAUAUAUAUAUAUAUAUAUAUGAAAACUUGAAAAUCUUCAAAAUUGAUAGUACAAAAAUAUGUUACAAAAUACACUAUUUUUAAAUUUAAAAUUUAUUUUUUUCUCAUGUCCAUGCAUAUUUAGGCAUCAAAACAACCUCAUCCAGUGAAAUUUUUUAAGUAGGCUCGAAUUUGGUUGUUUAGAGCGUCGGCUCUACAUAAACUUUUCCCAAAAGAAAAUGGCAACACUAAUUCAUCAUCUAAACUCAAAAGUCGAGAGAAAUCAUUUCACUGAAAUGCUAUUCAACUGUUACCUGAACAGUAAUCAGAUUCGCACACGCUGCUACAUUCCCUCCUUGACUGAACCAAGACCAUGAGAGAGAAACCCAACAAGUGUAAUUAUAACAGAGAAAAAAGAUCGGAAGCAAAAAGAAAAAGAUGUUAUUUAUCUUUUUUUAAAAGUUUUUGUUUUGUACUUACCAAAGUUGCAGACAGACCAGAGGUUUGAAGGUCUACUUGUAAUGCCAUAACAUUGGGGGCAAAUGUAAAGGCAAAUGGAGCAAUGAAAAGAAACAGAGAGGCUAAAUUUGAAGCCUGAUCAAGACCCAUUUUAAUGGUCGGUGAAAAAGCUCAAAACUCUCUCUCUCUGUGUUUAAAGUUUGGGCUUCUCUCUCUGCAACUUUCUCUCUCUUUGCUGAAGUUCAGAAGCCUGGGUUUCACGGAUUUAAAAAUGGGCUUCUCUGGGAAUUGACGGCUUGGAUUGGAUUAGAAGAGCCUUCGAUUUUGGGUAAAAGGGGCAUCAAUUUGAGGGGUGAAGGUCUUUGUCGUGUAAUAGCUCGUGAUAUCCACUUUGUCUUUUUGGUGUUGAGGAUCUGAAAUAGAUAUUAUUGAGCUUUGCAGGAGAGUCUACCAUACAUGAGCGGUGUGUAGUGCAUUUCCUAGCAUGAGUGAUGUAUUAUGUAUGGUACACAAUGGGACAUAGACUGCUUGUUUUUGGUGAUGAAUGGUGGAGAUUAGAUGUAGUUCUCCGUCGUCAUCGUUCAUCCAUGUGUUAAAUCUCACCGUUUAUCAUUUCGAAAAACAAUCUACGGGCUAAGAUUUUCCCACUUUCUUAUUUGUUUCUUGGAGUUGAAAUAUCACGAUGUUAGCACUGCGGUACAUGUGUAGUCACACCAUACAAAAGUGACGCGAAAUAUGGGAAAGAAUUGCCCAAUGUUUUUUGGGAUACGGUAGGUUGCGAAACAUUUCACCUCCAACACAAGUGCCCUUAGAUAUUUUUAUUUAUUAUUAUUAUUAUUUUGGACUUUUCCCCAUAGUUUCAUCAUUGUUUUGCAAAAGCCAAAAGAUUACUCCCUUCAAGUAAAACCUCAUUUAGAAUAGGGGGUUGGCAACAAAGGAUAGACCCAAUCUAGGUCUAGAUAUGGGUUUAAAAAUUGGACCCGGCAGGUUGGGUCCGGGUCUAAAUUUUGGAUCCGAACACUAUUCCAGUCUGGGAGUUCGGGUCCGAUAAUAUCUUUCAAGUCUCAAUAUAUGAAAUAUAUUUAAAUAUAGUUAAAUACAUAGAUAUCUUUAGAUUUUGGGUCGAAUCCGACCCAGUCUGGAACUAGAUCCGAUGAACUUGGGACCGGUCAGGUCUUGGUCUCAUAUCAUUUUUUCUGGGUCCGGAUCAGGUCCUGGACACGACCUGAACCGACCUGUGGCCACCCAUAACCUAGAAUUAAUUUUAAGAACCCAAGUUUUGAGCUCUUCAACGUACAAUCUAUUCUUAAAAAAAAAAUCUUAAUUGUACCCUCUAUGCAUUUUAAAAAAACAUAGUCAUUAGGGACCAUCCGAAUUUUAGAUUGUGAGAUCCAAGCGUUAGGAGAACCAAAUUUCAAGAAAACUUUUUUUGAGAAUAAUCAUCUAGUAAUCUUUAAAUAAUUCAAAAAAUUUCAGAUUGAAAGACAAUCCUCUCAAGUAGGUCUUUGAGCGAGGGAGCAGAAAAACAAACUAUGCUACUAUGCUCCCAAGGGAGCAUAAUAUACGUGCCAUUCACGAAAACACAAAAGAGGACAAAAAUGAAGUUUCAUUAGGAAGCGACCGUAGCUAUAAAUUUUUAAUGGUCAUUCACCAAAUAAUAUGUAUAGAAUUAAGUUAUGGUAAACAUUAGGGGUAAGGUGAUGGAGGCACGACCAGCAUGGCGACUAAAAUACAAGAUAUUAUGGUCUGAUUGAGGCUCUUGACCUUUUCUUUGAAAAUUAAGGCUCUUGACUUGACUCCUAAUUGCAAAAUACAUUGCAAUGAAUUGGCCAGUACAAAGAAGGAAUAGUCCCUACUCCCGGGUUCAACAUAGCACAUGGAAAGAAGCAUGUAACUCAAAAAGGAGCCUUAAUUUCUUGGCAAGUUCUCAGUAUCUGGGCAAAUGAUUAUAUGGGUUUUAAAUAGGGUGUCUUGGGUGUAUUUGAUUUGUGGGUUAAUUAUUUUUGCCAUCUUUGCCCUUGUCUUUGAGGAGGGGGAUGGGGUUCUAUGUCUUUAAAAAUGAAAAACACAACAUAGAGAGCUGAGCUUUAGAGGAACAAUGGAUCAAAUGGAGUGAUUCUCAAGGAGGAUAUUCAGAUUUUAUUAAAUAGUUUUUAGAGUGAUUUACAUAGAAACUUUAAAAUUUUAGGUAAAAUACGAAAUGCUCUAUUUAUAUGCGGAAAUUACACAGAAGAUCGGUCAACCUGCUUUUUUUAAAAUAAUUCCAAAAUUGCCCCUUGAACAACUUGAAUUUUGAUUUUUUUUUUAUUUUAUUUCAUUUUUUUAGUAGGGAAGUGCCUUAAAGAUUGGGGCAUUGCUCUACUAACAAAAAAAAAAAACUAAAAAAAGAAAUAAAAAAUCAAUUGAUCGAGAGGUAAUUUUGAAAAAAUAAAAAAAAGGUGGGUUGACCGACUUUCUUUGUAAUUUCUGCCUAUAAGCGGAGUAUUUUAUAUUUUCCUAAAAUAUUAGGGUCUGAAUGUAAAUCACUUUAAUUUUUAGGUAGAUCAACCGAAAAUAGGUAUCUUACUCAUUUUUAUGGAAUUUAAGACAUCAUAUUGUGUUACCCAUCCCCUUGACCACUUAUAUGCCUUGAGCUCAAUCCCGAAUUCUAUUAACCUACAUUUCAUGAAAUACAAUACGGGCAAAAUGGGAUGCUCUGACCCAUAGAUUUUAUGUAGGCUCAAUUUAAUUAUUCAUUUUAUUGACAUAGAUGAGAUUGAAAGCACCAAAAGAAAAGCAAACUAAGUCGACUCAAUUUAAUUACAGAGUAAAUAAGAAAAUAAAGGCAACAUACAUAUCUCAAAAAAAUUAUUGUUGACUACUACUAAUAAAAAAAAUGUAAAUUAUAAUGAAAUGAGUAAUUAUCACAAAUAUCCUUUAUUUUUUAAAAAUUUCAAAAAUCAAAUUUCAAAACUACUUCCAUACCCAUUUUCCCACACUUUAUUGUUUUUAAAAAAAAACACCCUUCAUGUAUCACAAUUCCAAUAGAAUCGUGAUAAUCUAUACUUCACCCGAUGCCCUCUUGAUCUCUCUUACUUCUAGUAACCACUGCAGCGGUGCUUUGAGCAUCAUGAUAGUGUCAAUGCCGGGAUGAUACAUCACAACAGUAAAGGUGCCAUAAUGCGUCUUUAUGCACCAUGGUGCUUCCUAGAUUUUCAGGAAGCUCCGUGGUGGUGCUGUGAGCAUCAUGGAACUAGGAAUACCGUAAUACUUCAUAGUGGUACUCAUAUCUCUUUGUGUAAGUAUGUGUCUAAAACCGUCAUGCCAUGAUGCAUUAUUACGGUACUAAUAGUGCCUUGGUGCUCAAAUAGCCACCGUGGUGCAUUGAGGACCAUCACAGCACUAGAUGAUUCAUCAUGUCACUAGCUCACAGAUCGAGCGCUUUUGCGCUGAAGAUGAACAGGGCCAAGCAAUUUACUGAAGUUGGGAGAUGUAAAAAUGCAUCGGUAGUGGAGCGUUCCGCCUUAGAGUGAAACACCCGCGCAAGCAGAUGUGGACGAUCGCAGUGCCAUGAUGCUAAAAGCACCAUCGCAGUGCUUCUAGGAAGUGAGAGAGAGCAAGAGGGCACAUUGUGUAUAAUGAUUCUAUUAGAACUAUGAUACAUGAAUGGCAUUUUGAAAAAUAUAAAUAAUGUGUGGGAAAAUGGAUAUGGAUGUAGUUUUAGAAAAAUUUAGGUAUUUUUUUUAAUUUCUAAAAGAUAAAGCAUAUUCGUGACAAUUACCCCAAUAAAAUAUGCAGGCUACUAGCUCAUUAACAACCAAAUUAGUAAUAAAUGAGGUGUUAACGUAAGGAUAUGAAUAUGUAUCAUACUGAUACAUAUUAGUAUGGAUAUGCAGUAUAAUAUACAUAUCUCUUGAUAAGAUUAGGUAGUGUCUAUCCAUAACCGUUGGUAUUUAUCUUUAACUGUUACUGGAACAUAUGGAUAUCGAUAUGUAUCAUAUUGAUACAUAUCAGUAUGGAUAUACAUCUGUAUGGAUACAUAUCUCUUGAUAAGAUUAGGUGGUGUUUAUCCAUAACCGUUGGUAUUUACCUUUAACUGUUACUGGCUGUAUAUUUAUAUGGAGUCUUGUAUAUUCUUGAUUAAUCAAUUUAAUAGAGUUCCCUACAGUAUUCUUAAAAUUCUAACAUGGUAUCAGAGCAAUAGGCUCCUCAACUUCAGAUCUGAGAUGCGAACUCAGAUCUGGGGUUACCGUGAGGUGUGAGCUCAGAUCAUAGUUUUGUUAUGGUCCUUCAAAAAAACCUUUACUGCAUAGUCCUUCACCCAUCAAUUUGCUCCACUUGCCUAUACUCCUUUGCUUCCCUUUUGCUUCACAGUUUGCAUUAAGAAAUCAUCUUCUAGAGAGAGAAAGUGCAAUUUGUCAUUUUCUUCCCAAUUUGCUGAUACCAACUGUAUUGAACACAUCAACUCCCUGUGGCGCAUAACCUUUUUUAUCGGUGGAAAAUCUUUUGGCAGAGCAGCUGAAGUAGUGCUGCAUCGAGGAGUUCAAGCUUGGGUCACUUGUGCUCGAGCAGUUCACAGUCAUCGACAAAAUCUGCGACCUCAUCACACAGGUGCGGCUAAGGGAAUUGUAUCAAUGAGAGACAUUUCUCUCUCUAAAUUUAUGUCUGGUGGGGUUGGGGCUUUGGUUCUUAUCAUUGUUUUUGGGCUAUUGAAUUCUCUCUUUGAACGGAAGCUAGUGGCCAAAUUGCCUUUUUCACCUUCUAGUUUUGUGUAAAAGAUGAGGCCUUAUUUACAACAUGUUCAAGCUAUGGCCGACGAAUCAGAGGCUCCAAGGUGCGAGCCGAGGUGGGAAUGGAUGGCGAUCGCUGCCCUUUAAGUACCCUGCAAUUUUUGAAACCGUCUUUCUUACGUUUAGCCAUCCUCUCUCUCCCUACUUCGUACUUUGUUGGGCACUUUUGUUGAGAAAAAAUGCACAUCUAAGUUUCUUAUUAUUCCAAAAAGUCUGCCUUCAUUUGAUAGAUGGAAACCUCUUAAUUUGGGUAAAUUCCUUCUUUUGUUAGGCAUCCUCUCUUUUAUUCUACACGUGCAAAAAGUGCACCUUGAGCAAGUAGACCGCUAGGUUCUUUACUAUUUUAUAAAAGGUAAGCCAUUGUUGUUGUACUUCCUCUGAUCUGUCUCUCUACGAAAUCGUAUUCUGACUCUUUGAUUUGUUUUGGAUCUUACUGUUCUCAACUCCCAAUCUAAAGUCUAACUGUUUUUGUUGAUCUGUUGCUGACUUCUGUUGGCUCUUCCAAGUGCCUCAUCUUUGAUUAUCGAAUAUCUUGAUCCUGGUUGAUGAUCAAGUUUUUGUUACUUGACCAUGUUUAAUCAUUGAAUUUUUUGUUACUCAAUCCUAUUGGAUGAUGGGGUUUUUCGUUAUUCCAUCCUGUGUGAUGAUCGCGUUUUUUUUUUGUUACUCGAUCCGAUCUGUUCCAGAGGCCUAUUGAUUUGGUGUUAUGCGAGACUGCUCUGUUUGAGGCGUCGGUUUAUGAGGAUUGCUAAUUUGCAAAAUUCACCUUUGAAAAAUGGCAUAUAAAAAGGGUUGAUCUGCUAUAUCUGAAAAAUUGUCCCUCUCGUUGUUUGAUCUCCGGUUCUUGAUCUCAGGGUGAUCGGUCUGAACUCUCAUCAGCCACUCUGAUCUUUAUUGAUGAUCGAGUUUUCUGUUACCAGAUCUUGUUUGAUGAUCGUAUUUUCUGUUGCUCGAUCAUGUUUGAUAAUCGUGUUUUUCGUUAUUCAAUCAUAUCUAUUGAGCGAGUUUUUCAUUACUCGAUCUCAGAUGUUUCAAUGGCCAGUUUGUCUGCUAUUUAUAGAGUUUUUCGUUACUCGAUCCCAGAUGUUCCUGAGGCCGUCUGUUUUUUAGGUAUGUCAUUUUUUUAUGCUUAUUGUUCAAGUAAUCUGUGUUUGUUGUUCAAGCAAUCUGAGCACGGAGACCACUACUUCUAUCGGUCACGCCAUGAACCUGAAGACCUGAAGAUCCAACUAGUUCGUUUAUGCAACUUAUUGUUCAAACUCCAAAUGCUUUGUGUCAAAACAUCUUGAGUUUGAGGGAGGGUGUUAACGUAUGGAUANNNNNNNNNNNNNNNNNNNNNNNNNNNNNNNNNNNNNNNNNNNNNNNNNNNNNNNNNNNNNNNNNNNNNNNNNNNNNNNNNNNNNNNNNNNNNNNNNNNNNNNNNNNNNNNNNNNNNNNNNNNNNNNNNNNNNNNNNNNNNNNNNNNNNNNNNNNNNNNNNNNNNNNNNNNNNNNNNNNNNNNNNNNNNNNNNNNNNNNNNNNNNNNNNNNNNNNNNNNNNNNNNNNNNNNNNNNNNNNNNNNNNNNNNNNNNNNNNNNNNNNNNNNNNNNNNNNNNNNNNNNNNNNNNNNNNNNNNNNNNNNNNNNNNNNNNNCGAAGGUUUUGGGGGUAGGGGGAGGAGAGAGAGAGAGAGAGAGAGAGAGAAGAUAGGAGAGAGAGGAAAUAAGGAGAUAAGAGAGACAUGAAUAGAGUGAGAUUCCAGAGUAAAGUGUGGGGAGAAAAGAGAACAGAGAGUAGAGACAAAAAGAGGGAUCAGAGUGGCAAAGAGAGAGACAGAAGGGAGGGGAGAGAUAGAGUAGAGUGAAAUUUCAAAGAGAGAGAGAGGCCAGAGUGUAGAGAGAGGACAAAGAGUAGAGAGACAAAAGAAUCAUAGUAUAGUUGUCAAGAGAGAUAGCGAGUAAGAAAGAGAGAGCAAUGAAUACAGAGGGAGAGAGGGAGGAAAGCGAGACAAAGCAGGGUUUAGGACAACAUAUGGGAGAGAAGCUAAAAGGAUUUUAGGGAGGAGAGAGAGGACAAAAGAUAAUCGGGUUUUAAGGGGUGAGGGGAGAGGAAGAGAAACAGGGAGAGGGAGAGAUAGAGUAGAGUGAGAUUUCAAAGAGAGAGAGAGAGAGGCCAGAGUGUAGAGAGAUGACAAAGAGUAGAGAGACAAAGAAUCAUAGUAUAGUUGUCAAGCGAGAUAGCGAGUAAAAAGAGAGAGCAAUGAAGACAGAGGGAGAGAGGGAGGAAAGCGAGACAAGGCACACAGGGGAUANNNNNNNNNNNNNNNNNNNNGAGUGAGAUUUCAAAGAGAGAGAGAGAGAGGCCAGAGUGUAGAGAGAUGACAAAGAGUAGAGAGACAAAAGAAUCAUAGUAUAGUUGUCAAGCGAGAUAGCGAGUAAAAAGAGAGAGCAAUGAAGACAGAGGGAGAGAGGGAGGAAAGCGAGACAAAGCACAUAUGGGAGAGAACCUAAAAGGAUUUUAGAGAGGAGAGAGAGGACAAAAGAUAAUCGGGUUUUAAGGGGUGAGGGGAGAGGAAGAGAAACAGGGAGAGGGAGAGGGAGAGAAAGAGAGAUUAUAUGGAGGAGAGAGAAAGUAGAGAGCGAUUGGAGGGAGGAGAGGGAGAGCGAGCAUUUAAUAUUAUUCUUUGAAGAGAGGAGGCAUAUAGAGAGUUUUUCAAAGAAUGAGAGUUAAUAGAGGCUUGGGAGGGGUUUCUAUGGUCAUUAAAGGCUUUAUGAAAGCAUGUAAUCAAUAUAUGAUAUAGUGGAACAAAAAACUCAAAUAGGAGUGUGAUUUGGAGGGAUCAAGAGAUUACGGUCCAAAGGGACCGAGAAAAGUAAAGCUAUUUGCCCAUAUUUAGACUUGACUUGAUGAGCUAAGUAAGUCGAGUUGAAAAACCCUUAAAUUACCUGAGCAUAUAAUACAACCAUGGAUGAGAUCGGAGUUGCCCAUGUGUGUGAGCUAAUGGACCUUGUGGCCAUUACGUGUGAUAGUUGUUUUUUAGAUAUGAGGGCGAAAAGCUUCAUCAUUGAUCCAUCAUACAUCAAAUGCAUAUGAUAGUUGUAUCGGGAACGCAAGUCACCAUUGAGGGUGAGGCAUACACAUGUGCGAGAAAUUACCCUUAUUCACCAUAGAGCUAUAGUAGCAUCAGGUAUGUGACCUUAUAACUCGUUUUUAAGGGAGAACCUAUAAUCCAUAGACUAUGAUUAUGUUCUCUCACUUAAUGACUGACUUUGGUACCCCAAUCAUGAACCCCUACAGUGGUCUGUGGGUCAUGAGAACUGCUAGGUUAGUUUGAAAAUACAAGUGUGGAUUAUAGUUCACAGUAGAAGAUGGUAUGCUUCAGAAAUAUUAAUUCAUAAACCUAGGAGAAUCCUAUUCAUAUCUAAUUUAUUUGGUUUUAUCUAGUUUGAUGUUAGUUGACAUUUUAGAAUAAUUAUUUAAAUUUUUUUGUGAGUAUCUAGAUAUUUUAUUUUUGUAAAAUGAAUUUAUAAAAUAAAAAUAUUCUUUACCAUGGAUAGUCUUCUUUAAUUUGGAAUCAAUUUUAUUAUUUUAAAAUUCAUAUGAUAUAUGAAGGAACCAUCCGGACCCCAAUGGAAUGUGCGUUGGGCCCAUUAAAAGGGGCCCUUGAUGGCCACACCCCACUUAACGUGGAUAGUCCUCUUUAAUUUGGAAUCUUUUUUUAAUUAGAAUUCUAAAAAGAAUAUGAAUAUGUUUUAUGAAGUCCUAUGGAGAUUGGACUUCUAAAGGAAUAUGAAUAUACUUUAUGGAGUCCUAAAAAGAUUGGAUAUAUAAAAAGAAUAUAAUUAAGUAAAACAUUAUGUGAUAUUUUUCAUAUUUUCUUUUUGAUAGGAUAAAUAUUUAGGAAGUUGAAAGAUAAGGUUUUAGCUCAUUUCUUUGGAUCAUGAUAAUUAAUUCAAAGAAUUUGUGGCUCAGAUCUCUUACCCCGCAGGUCUCAUAAGAUCAAUAGGUCUGGACCAAUGUACAAUAAUGACUGUCCCGAAAAAACCCCUAUCCCCUUGAAAAGUCUAUAAAUAUGGCAUUUCCACCUCUCAUUUUUUACAUAAGAUCUCUCUCAUCUCUCUUCGAUCUCACCUAGGGUGGCACGCCACCACCUAGGGUUUCUUUAUCUCUCUCUCAUCCAAUAUCUCAUCUCUCUAAGAGAGAUAGGGGGCACGCCUCCAUAAGAGAACAAAAGUAGGGGCAUGCCCCACUCAUAUGUUCUAAGGCAUUGAUCCAUAGUUCCAUGCUCUCAUAUUUUGUUAAAGGAUUUAGCUAGAGCUUUCCCUAUUUUGUUAAGAGGUUUAACCAAAGCUCUUUUAGAUUUUGUAGAUCUGAAAUAGACUAUUGAUCCCAUGCAAAUUGGAUGAGGAGACCCGAUGUGGGGUGUACUAAGUCCGAUUGAGGUAAUCUUCCAACAUCUUGCUUUAUGGUUUGAAGUAUUUUAUUUCUUAUGCUUUCUUAUUACCAUAAGCAUUGUGUUCGUUUGAGUUGAAUAAAAAAAAGAUGCAAUUAAUGGCAGCAAGCGAAAACCACUUUUGGUUAUUAAUUUAUAUAUUUUGAGUUAAAUUUAUUAUAGUUGGACCAUUGUAAGUGUUCUAGUCAGUGAGCAAAAAAAAGAGUUAAAAAUUAUACACACCGUGCUAGAUCACCUUAUCCAACUUUCAAUUAUAUAUAUAUAUAUAUGGUAAACCUUACAACAGAUGGCCAGUUAUAAUGAAUAGUGUAUACGUGGAAUCGAAGCCAUCAGAUCUUUAUGCAGUUCAAAAUAAUGCACAUCUCUAUUUUAAUUUGAAGUUUUUUUAUAUAAAUUUGAUUAAUAUGAAAUUUUGGAUGUUUAUACCUAACACUAUUGUGCGCUAUAUAAAAAUAUAAAAAAUUAUUUUCAAUAAAUAAAAUGAUCAAACUACGCUCAUUAUUUUUUAGGGGUAUUUUGGCCAUUUUACAUUUGGGAAAAUAUUUGUUUUAUAUUUUUUAUUUGUGCGCCCUUUAUUUUAGUACCCAUGCCUAAAACGUCAUUAUGAUCCGAUUUAUAGAAAAAUAAUUAAAAUUAAACCAGUGAUAUGUAUUAUGAACCGCAUGAUGAAGAUCUGACGGCUAUCAUUCCACUUAUAUUAAUAUUCAUUAUAGCUGACCAGCUAUUGUUAGCUUUUUCUAUAGAGUUCACAAUUACUUACAACUAUUUGACGUGAAAUUUGAUAGCUUCGGUGUGUCACAAAGUUCGAAAAAAAAAAAUUUGAACUUUGAGGUUAAUCAAUGUAAUAAAUGUAACCACCCAAUUUCACAUCCAAGAGUCAAGAUUAAUUGUAAUCACCUUGUACCGAAGGUAAAUAAUAUCACUAUAUGGAAAAUUUUUUCCAACGCCUAUAGGCGAAAAUGAACAAUGAUUUCGUCUACCUUCAUCACCGUCCAAAGUUCAUUGCACGGUCACGAUUGUCUGGUAGUGUUUCAUUUUCAUGUUUUUUUCUACAAAUCGGAAUGAUCUGAAAUUUAGAGUGUGUAUACAUCUUAGUGAGACGCACCUAAUAAAAAUACGAAACAAAUAAUUUGCAAAACAAUGACCAAAAUACCCCUAAAACUUUUUGGGGGUAUUUUGAUCAAUUUAUUUCAUAUAAAAAUAUUCUUUUUGAUAUUUUUUUUAUAGAUUAGCCUAUUUUUUAUGAACACACGCUCAAAAUUUUAAAUAAUUUUGAUUUGUAAAAUAAAAUAAAAAAUAAAAUACUAUCGGACAAUGGUGAUCGUGUGAUGAACUUUGGAUGGUGACGAGAUAGGCAAAAUCACUAUUCAUUUUCGCCUAUNNNNNNNNNNNNNNNNNNNNNNNNNNNNNNNNNNNNNNNNNNNNNNNNNNNNNNNNNNNNNNNNNNNNNNNNNNNNNNNNNNNNNNNNNNNNNNNNNNNNNNNNNNNNNNNNNNNNNNNNNNNNNNNNNNNNNNNNNNNNNNNNNNNNNNNNNNNNNNNNNNNNNNNNNNNNNNNNNNNNNNNNNNNNNNNNNNNNNNNNNNNNNNNNNNNNNNNNNNNNNNNNNNNNNNNNNNNNNNNNNNNNNNNNNNNNNNNNNNNNNNNNNNNNNNNNNNNNNNNNNNNNNNNNNNNNNNNNNNNNNNNNNNNNNNNNNNNNNNNNNNNNNNNNNNNNNNNNNNNNNNNNNNNNNNNNNNNNNNNNNNNNNNNNNNNNNNNNNNNNNNNNNNNNNNNNNNNNNNNNNNNNNNNNNNNNNNNNNNNNNNNNNNNNNNNNNNNNNNNNNNNNNNNNNNNNNNNNNNNNNNNNNNNNNNNNNNNNNNNNNNNNNNNNNNNNNNNNNNNNNNNNNNNNNNNNNNNNNNNNNNNNNNNNNNNNNNNNNNNNNNNNNNNNNNNNNNNNNNNNNNNNNNNNNNNNNNNNNNNNNNNNNNNNNNNNNNNNNNNNNNNNNNNNNNNNNNNNNNNNNNNNNNNNNNNNNNNNNNNNNNNNNNNNNNNNNNNNNNNNNNNNNNNNNNNNNNNNNNNNNNNNNNNNNNNNNNNNNNNNNNNNNNNNNNNNNNNNNNNNNNNNNNNNNNNNNNNNNNNNNNNNNNNNNNNNNNNNNNNNNNNNNNNNNNNNNNNNNNNNNGGUCAUUGUGAUAGACUUAAAAUAUAUUUUUACCUUUAUUUAUAAAGUUUAAAGCUUCAUAAAUAGUGUAGAUCGAUAGAUCUAUGAAAACUUGAAAAUCUUGAAAAUUGAUGGUAAAAAAAUGUGUUAGAUAUAUAUAUAUCUAUAUAUGUGAGCAAAUAUUACAAUAGCUAGGCAGCUAUGAUGAAUAGCAAUAUAUGUAAAAUGAGAGCCGUUAGAUCUUCUUAAUGUGGUUCAGAAUACAUAUCACUAUAAGAAAUACCCAUAUACGCCGCAGUAACUGUGGUCGCAUUAGGUCAGGUUAGUACGUCUCUAGAGGAAAACUUGAAAUCUACAAACUGACAUUAUGACUCAUUGGCUCAUUGGCUAAACUUUGAUGGCCCGUUAAUGAGCCCUUACAUGGACUACGGGUCAUGAAAAACACUAAGUCGGUUUGAUAAAGUAAGUAUCGACUAUAGUCCACAGUUAAAGGUGGAGUGCCCCAACGUUUAUUUAUUUAAUUCCUUGAUCAUAUGGAUCAUUUUUCCAUCUAAUAAAUUUAAUUAUAUUUUUUUUUAUGAUAAAUGAUUUUUAAAAUUAUUAUUUGAAUUUAUUAGAUCUCUGGAUAUUUUAUUUAUCAAAUUUGGAUCUAUAAAGACAGAGAUAUUGAUUUUAGAUUGAUUUAAAGGUUCAAAGUUGAUUUUAUGGAUUUAUAAAAAUCGUAUAAUUAAUUUUAAUAGUGCAUGGGAGGCCCAACAUGUUAAUGGGCCCACCAUUGCAUAUAGGUGGGGCCUAUGAAGUACCACCUAGGAUUACACACGCCCUAACGAAACUUUCAUUGUGUUAGUUUAAACUUUGGCUUGAAGAGAAAGGUUUGACAGUUUGCCUUAACAAAACUUUCAAAGGAUUUUUGGAAAGCAUGAGAAGGCUUAUGCAUAAUUUUGGUAAGCACUAUUUUAUAAAUGUAAUUAUUUUAUUUAAUUUCUAUUGAUGAGAAAAUGGUUUAAGAAUGGGAGAUAAAGGUUUUAACAUAUUCCAUAAUGUUGAUGACCUAUAUAUAUAAUAGAUGGCUCAAAUCUCUUACCCCAUAAGUCACCUAAGAUUAAUGGUUCAUAUUCAAUCUCAUAAAAAGAGGUAAGCCAAAGAAACGAAACCCUAAUCUUAUUCAAAGCCUAUAAAAAUAGAUUAUCUCUACCCAAAAUCUCUACUCCUUAUCUCUUACACCUAAUUCUCAUCUCUAUCUCAUAUCCCACUAAGGGGCACGCCCCAUUAAGAAUUUCUUUCUCUUUCUCUUAAAAAAAAUUAUCUCUCUCAAGAGCCCCAAAGGCAUACGCCCUACUCUAUCAUCUUUGAUAUCUCUCUCAUGGUGGUUCUCUCAAGUAUCUCAUAAUCGCUCAUCUCUCAUUGGGGUUUUAGACUAUAAGGUUGUGGUAGAAAAGAAAAGUAUUUUUCUCAAACUAGGUUGCUAAGGGGAUUCACCUAAGGGUUUGAGAUUUGUGAUAAAGGAAUUCAUAGUUCCAUUAGAGGGCUUGGUCUAAACUUGCUUUCCCAGUUGAGAUUGAAGGUUGAUCGUUGAUCCCGUGCUAUCAGAUGGUGGUGACUCGGUAUGAGGUGUAAUAAAUCCGAUUGAGGUAAUCUCCGACACUCUCUUUUUGCUUCUUGUCAUAUUUAACUAUAUUGUCUUUAAAUUCUCAAGCAUAAGAAUUGUGGAUAUUUUUUUUGUUUAAAGAAAAUUGGUUUAAUGGCAUCAAGGUUUUUAAGAUCUUGGAUUUGUUAGUUUUAUUUUCUUUGAAGCAUGCGUUAUUGUAAUAAGACUACUUGUAAGUGAUCGUUGCUAAAAGAAAAGAAAAAAAAAAGUGAAAAGAAGAAAAAUAAAAAAUAUAUAUCCCCGACAAAAUCGUAUUACUCUUUGUUUCAAAGAUAUAAAAAAUGCAAUAUUAUAGCACGGUUAAUGGCCUAUGGAGCACGAAAUAAACGACAAAAUUAUAAAGAAGCCCCUAUAAAUUGGGUACCUGAUGUGCCAGACACUCUCAAGGAAGAUAGAGAACUCUUAAAAUUUGAAAGUAUGGUAUUGAUCCGGCAUCAUUUAAUACCGUUAACUUAAAGGUUAUUACCUGUGCUACCUCGAAAUACCAUUUACCAUUGGAUUAAAAUACUGCAAAAUAACACAAAAUGGUAAUUUUGUAGAGGCAAAAUUACACAAGAUUUAAUUUUGUAGAGGCAAAAUAACACAAGAUUUAAUUUUGUAGAGGUAAUUUUGUCUAGGCAAUAAUACUGCAAAAUAACAUAAGGGACGAUAUGAUUUUUGGCUGUCCUUCCUUGCAAUUUAAGAUUUCCAUCAAAGUUUAUAUCUUGGGAAUUCCUACUUGGAAUCAUGGAGAAAAUCUACGGAGAAAUUGGGGUCUUUGUGAACUUUUUCAGUUUGCAGGCUGACCUUUUCGGUAGUUUAAGAUGAGACUUAAUUAUGCGGACUCUUGACUCGAUCCUCUAUCCAUAAAGAAUAUGUUAUUACCUUUUCAGGUAUGGGUGUGGUUUGUAUAAGGCUUUGGGCAUGUAGCCAUAAACAAUCAAAAUAAGGUGCACCUUUAAAUGUCGGAAUACGUUUUUCGAUACUAGAAAUAUUUUUAAUGGUUUGAAACUUUAUUUUCAUAUCUAAUUAUAAAAUUUAAAGUUUUAAAAAUAGUGUAAAUCGAGCAGAUCUAUGAACAACUGAAAAAUCUUGAAAAUUGAUGGUCUAUAAAUAUAUUACAAGAUGGAAUAUUUCUAAGACUUGAAAUCUAUUGUUUUUCUCAUGUCUAUAUAUCUUGAGGUCAAGAUGAUCGAUUUGAGGAUUUUUGGGCAUGGAAAUGACAUUUUCUAGUGGAUUUUUAUUUUUUUGGAUAGAAGUUCAAAGUUUUAUUGAUCAAGAACUAAAAGAAAUUACAGAGUCAGAGACUAAAAUCUCAGAUAAAGUGGUUCUACCUUUGGCAAGAGAAUCUUCCAAACUGUUGGCGUCACGAAAGACAUGAAUAAAAGAGCAAAGAAGAGGUCUAGUUAAGUCCAAAAUUUCCAACAAAAGAGACCGGAGUUCCCACGGUGGUUUUUGCUAGAGUUUACACCAUUUAAUGACAUUAAGAGAGUCACCUUCCACCAUACAAGUCGUGCCAAAAUUUAUAGUAGUGAAGAAUUUCAACCUAUGAAGAAGAGCCAUCAUCUCCGUGCAAUUAGCAGUUUUAACACCCAAAGGUCCAACAUAAGAAAAAAUCACUACUCCAAUCUAAUGUCUCACCACACUUCCAAAUCCAGCAGGACCCGAGUUUCCUAAAGAACUCCUAUCAAAAUUUAGUUUGAAAACCCCAAACAAAUGUGGUGUCCAUCUCCCCUGAGGCCUGCAGGUAAAAGGUUUCAAUUUAAGGAUGCUUGAAAAAUUCCUUCUCACAUCUAUCUCAAGAAUAUCUUUAUCUACUUUUGUAAUAGAACAAGAUAGCCAAACGGAAUGUAAGAUCUUAUCCACCACACAUACCUCAGACAAGCUAAUCCCAUCAAACACCCUUCUAUUUCUCUCCUUCCAAACCUCCUACAGAAUAAUGCCUCUCGAAAUUUGCCAUAAAACCGCACCAGUUGGUGGCAACCAUGGAACUGUUAAAUUUGAAAUAAUCCCUUGUAUAGCCGCAGGCGUUAUCAUAGAACUUCCCAAUUGGACAAAAAACCAAUGCUAAAUUUGUAGUGUAAAAGGACAAUGCAAGAUCAAAUGGGCCCUUGUUUCAGUGUCAUUCUUGCAUAAUAAACAUAUAUUUAGCAAAAUCUUACAUCGUUUGAUGAGAUUAUCAACCGUGAGCACCUUAUCUUGCACGGCCAACCACAAAAAAGCUCUGACCUUGGGUGGUACAGGUCAUUUCCACACUGCUGCAAUUUCCGGCAUAGACCAUCUCCAUCGGUCAUGAAAAAGCAAAUUAUACAUAGAUUUAAUCGAAAAAACUUCAUCAGAAGCAUGCUUCCAAAUUAUCUCAUCAAAAGCAUAUGGACUUUUUGUAAGAGGGCAAGCAGUUGAACAUAUUCUUGAAAAACCACUUCUGAGAUUCUAUUAUAAGGAAGGACAAUAUUCCAAUCAACCUGAUUUCCCCUUAAGACAAUGAUGUUAGAUACAACAACAUCAUAAUUUUUCAUACGCUGGUAAACCAAAGGAAACAAAUACUUAAGUGGGGUGUCACCAAGCCAUUAUGAUGCCAAAAGGAAAUAUUUUGCCCACUUCGCAAAUUCCAUCUAAUAUCCCUAUGAAUCAAACUCUUAGCAGAACUAAUAGAUCUCCAACAAUAAGACACUCCGCUUGUACCACUUCUUCAACCAGCCCACAUAUGAAAACUGUCUUCUCCAUACUUGGUGAUGAUGACUUGAUACCAUAGCUGAUCUUUGAAGUUUAGGCUAUGCCACCACCAUUUACAUAGCAAUGCUUGGUUAACCAGUGAAAUCUUUCUUAAACCUAAUCCACCUGCCCUCAGAGGAUUGCAUACCCUAUCCCAUCGAAGUAAGUGGAAUUUCUUGGAAUUAUCAAAAGAUUCUCAUAGGAAGUUGUGCAUCAAUGUCUCGAUUUUUUUGCCACCCGAGGGGGAAUCAUUAGCAACGACAUUUGUGAGAUUGGCAAAUUAGAUAAGCAUGCUUUAAUCAAGGUAAUCCUCCCACCCAAAGACAAAUAUUUAAACUUCCAAAGACCAACUUUACCUAAAUUAUUUGAAUGAUUUUAUCCCAGACAGCUAUAAGAAGACGUCCAUCUGAGAUUGGCAUUCAUAAAUACCAAAUAGGGAAGAUAGCUACCUUACACCCCAAAACCCUUGCCUUAUCACAGAUUGCACAAUCAGCACAAUUAAUACCAACUACUGCUGAUUUUGCAAAAUUCACUUUUAACCCUAAAGCCACUUCACAUUACUACAAGAAAGUUGCAAUAUUUUCCACUUGGUCACAAUUGGCCUCACAAAAUAACAACAUAUCAUAUGCAUACUGCAAAUGCGAAAGGCAAGGACCAUUGUUCGGCAUUUGAAAGCCUUUAAAAUGUCCUUUAGCUUCGAUAUUGCAAAGAAGACGACUAAAGCAUUCAACAUAGAUGGUGUACAGAAAAGGAGAUAAUGGGUCCCCUUAACAAAGCCCACGCGAGGCACCAAAAAAAUCAGUAGGACUGCCUUUGAAAAGUAUUGAAAAGUUUACAAAGGAUCGGCAUCCAAACAUCUAGCUUCUCCAUUUUUUCCCCAAACCCUAUAUUUUUCAUAAUUUCAAGAAGAAUAUUCUAUUCCACCCUAUCAUAUACUUUUUCCAUAUCUAGUUUGAUCACAACCACCACACCACUACUAACAGAUCUAGAAUGAAUACAUUCCUGAGCAAUCAAAACACUAUCAGUAAUCAUUCAAUCCUUGAUGAAAGCAUAUUGGGGCCUCAUAAUAACCUCUGGUAAGACUGUCUUGAGUCUUUUAGCCAAAACCUCAACAAUGAUUUUGUAAAGACUCGAGAGAAGGCUAAUAACUCUCAAAUCUCCCACGCACCCGAUGACCGAUUUUUAACGUAUAAGCACGAUAUAGGCAGAAUUAACCCCUUUGAAAAGCUCCCCCUUCUGUAAAAAACCACGCACCAUAUCCAACAAUUAUGAGAAAAUCAAAUUCCAAAUUUUGUGAAAAAAUAACAGAGGAAAUCCAUCUGGAGCCUUAUCCCCUGGGAGUUCAAACACUGCUUUUUUUAAUUCUUCUAAGGACACAUCCCUCUCAAGCAAUAUCACCGAAUCAGCAUUAAGGUGACUAAAACCUACGUUAGAUAGGCGAGGUGUGACCCUAACCUCUGUUGUAAAAGCCUUCUUAAAUUGAUCAACCACUGCAUUAUACAUCCCCUCCAAAUUUUCACGGUCCACACCUUCAAUUAAAAGCCCAGAAAUAUCUUUCUAACGUCACUUAGCAUUGGCAGUGGCAUGAAAAAAAAAAGUAUUUAAGUCCCCUUCCUUAAGCCAUUUGACCCUAGAUUGUGGCUUCCAGUAUACCUCUUCUACCCUUUGAAGUUCAUGAAGCUCACUAAUUUUGGAGCUUCUAGCUACAGCUAACUCCUCCGAGAAAACACAAGAGUUUUGAAUCCUAGCAUCCACAUCCAUUAAACAAUUAAGCACCUCCUCAAUUUUUGCCUUCACAUUCGGUCCUUUAUCAUUCCUUUGAGAGAUUAAUUUAUGUUUCACGCAUAAAAGCCUUUUAUGCAGUUGUAAGUCUAGAGAACCAAGGGAAAUACAAUUUUCCCAUGCACUCUUAACAAGGUCAAGCACUUCCUUGUCUGCCAGCCAACUAGCCUCAAGCCUGAAUGGCCUGAGACCAAUCUAGUGUACUUUGGUACUCAAAAGGAUGAUGGGAGUGUGAUAAGAAGAGAGCCUGAGUAAGGCUAUAACUGAGGCUAAAGGCAACAAUUUAGCCCAAUCCCCAGAGACCAAAAAACGAUCUAAUUUAAAUAUUGAUAAGCAAGAGGCAUUGCCAUUAGUCCAAGUAAAAGUAGUACCUAAAAUAGGGAAAUCGAUCAAAGCAUUGAACUCAAUAAAACGAUUAAAACGACGCAUUGCAAGCGUAAUAGAGCCUCCCCUAGAGCUUUCAUCAUGCCAUCCAGUAAAAUUGAAGCCCCCCCCCCCCCCCCCCCCCAAACACAACGGAUAAGUAAAAGAAGCAAUGGAAGCAGGCAUCUCAUUAAUAAAAGUAUAUUUUUGUGUCUACUCUUGCGGACUAUAGGCAUUCAAAAGGCCCCAACGGAAAUCAGAGGCAGGCUCCUCAAAACCAACCAAAAUAAAAUUGUCUUUAAUAAUAGAACAAAAAGACAUCAAACAAGUGGGGUCCCAUAAAAUCCAUAACCCACAAUAUGUCCCAACUGCAUCAAUACCCAAGAAAUCAACUAACCCAGGACCCCAAACUUCCCGAGCACUCCAAGCAGAGGGUUUGGGAAGUUUGGUUUCCUGCAAAAUUAAAACCGAAUGUUUAAAAAGGGACUAACAAGAAAACAUCAUUUUUGUGCUUUAGGUUACCAAUACCUCUAACAUUCCAAGAGAUAAAAUUCAUGGAAAGGGAUUAGCAGAAGAAGAACCUGGCCCAUCCCAGUUGGAGUGAGAUAAGGCAUCCUCAGCUGGCAUAGCAUCCUCUAUAUCUUCCUCAUCCCCCGACGAAGUCCCAAAACUAACUUCAACGGCUUGAAAAACAACAAUUACAAUGCCUCUCGCUAAGUGUUGAGCUCUAGACUCCCUUGAGCCUGCAGCCUAGCCGAGGUCCUCGUCCCCAUAGCCACUGCUUUGCCUUUUGCUUUUGAUUUCUCUUCUACUAUUGGGAUAUUUUCUACAGCCACAUCCACAAACUUAGAGCCCUCAGCAUCAUUAUCUUUAGCUUUAUUCGAUCCUCCACCUUCUUUACCUUUCUUCUUAUUAGCGAUGAUCUCCUUAGAAACAACAUUGAUAGGGAUAUUGAAAUCCAUCCCACUAUCAAAGACGAUUGAAGCAACUAUCGUCUUGUCCAUAGCAGGCGUAGGCACUGAACCUAGCAAAGACUUCAAAUCAGCAGGAGGCAUAGGGUCUGCCAAAGUCGAAGAAGUAGUGAAGCCAAUCAUUAGUGGGCCCUCAUCUUGACGGAUCAUAGAAAAAGGUCUGGUAGCGUCCAUCUCCACCACUGCUAAAGCAUUGUGCUCAGUUUGAACUGGUUCCUCAAUAUUAUCAGGCAAACCCCCAAGUUCCAAAAUUUCAUGUUCACCUUCCUCAAUGUCCAAUAGGACUUCUUCCUCCUCAAUCAACACCAGAGCUAGAGGAUUAAUCAAAAGAGGAUCAAAUCCAUUGUUGGAAUGGGGACGAGAAUUGCGAACCUUCCUAUAGGCCCGGCGAUGGAACAAGGGGUACAUCUUCACUGCUGCAAGUAACAUUAAAUAAAGUACCGAACAAUGCUUUUGUCCUGUGAAAACAAUGGCUGUUGCCACCCACAAAAAGGCACUAAACGCAUCGCUUUUCUUAGCUUGAACCACCGCCUUAGUAGUAACCAGGGGAAGAUGAGGGGAGGAAAGGAAAGCCUUCCCACAAAUCGAAGACACCGGCCAAAAAUCAGGGGCAACUGCCACGUUGUCCACCUCCUUCCUCGAGGUAGCUGAAGCGAUAUCGGAAGAGGAUACGAAGCUGCCAUGCAAAAAAGGUGCAACUAAAGAACUUUAUGGUCCGUGAUGGACUACAUCUUGAAUUGGGCUCUCAGACUGUUUAGUAACCGAAUGCACCAAAGACGGCGUUCCAUUCGUGAAACGGUCUACUGGGAUCCACCAUUUCGAAAAUUUCAAAUUUCGAAAAUUUUCCAUCUCUUCCCAAAUGAUCUCCGGUGAGUCCUUGAAGCUGUUUGGAAUAGUCUCCGGACAAACCUUGUGUAGGGGUCUAUUUCUCCCACGUCGCUGAAAUACCUGACUCCACCCAUCAGUUUCUUUAGCAUUCUCCUCCGUCGUAUUUAACACCAUCGGUUUAGAAAGAGGAGAUUUAAGCUCAGAAGAGAUCUUUAUAGAAAAGGAUUCUUUGCCCACAAAUAAUCUAAUCCAUUUGGGAAUAGGAGUCCCAUUCCACUUCCAAAUACGAACUCACACAUAACUCAAAUCAACUCCUCAAAAGGAAGUAUCGUCAAUAUCGCAAAACGCCUCACAAUAAUUCACCACCUUACGAAUAGCGCCAUACGACCAUACGUGAAGAGGAAUCCCUGUCAAUGUAAUCCAAAGACUUUCCUUGGAAGUAUAAAAGCAAUGAGAAGACGAUUUCCAUAUAUCUAAGGAUAAAAGCUUACCCCGAAUUCUAACAAAUGUAUUUUCCAAAGCCUUACUGGUGUCUCCUUUAGCACGCAGUAGGAAAGCAAUCAUGUUGUCCCCCAAGGCUUUGACCUUUGGAGCAUAUGACAAACUAUAUCCUCUUUUUGCCUAGUCACUAAGCCCAAAAUAUCAUUUGAGGGAAGGGAAAACAAACCUACUACAAGGAAAGGAGCUUCCAGUAGUAGACCACCUGAAAGGUCAUAUCGAACAGCAACAUCAGGCAUCAAUCCACCGUCUUCCUCGCUCUCGCCGUCACCUAAAUCACCAAACCCCAUCUUUUUUCUAGUUGGCUAAAUUAUUCUAAAGCAAUGAUUAACACUGCAAUAUGCAAUUGUCUUGCACUAGGGAAAAUGGUAUACAAAGUUGACAUCCUAAAUUGUAGAAUUAAGAUGCGCUUUAAAAAUCGAUAAGAAAAGAUUAUUUUGACGUUGAAAAAUUAUCUCUUUUCUCUAGUGGAUUUUUUAAGUGCACCUUAAUUUAAUUGUUUAGGAUCUCGCCCUUGUAUAAACUUUUUCUUUGAGAUAUUAAAGAAGAUUUUUUAGGUCAAUUGCAGCUGCAUUUUACAAUGUGGUUAAAACCAUGAAUUGACAGGCACAAAAAACACCCAUAACUCUUUCAAUACUUGAAGUUUUUAGGUGAGGUAUGAGGUAAAGUACUCCUAAAGUGGUUCCUCGUGACUCUAUAGAGUUGAGUAAACAAAAUCCAGUGAAAAGGCGACGAAAUAGGCAAGAAAAGUGUAUAAAAACAUGAAUUUGCUGAGUUUGGGAUAAACAACAAAAAUAUCUGCAACUCCCUUAAAUCUGGGAGGUUUUGGAUGAAAUUUGGUGCAAAAUAUUCCUAAGUCGAUUAUCUAAGAUUUUGUGGAGCCAAACCCAGUUUAUCUAUGAAAAAUAGUGAAAUAAGAUGGGUAUAUGGGAAUCCAAGCUUUCACCAAUGGUAAUAGCUGAUAUUUUUAUUAAAAUAACCCCAACAAAUUUACCCUUUCGAAAAGUGACGCAAAUGAAAAGUAAUUCUCCACCCAUGUAUCAUAAUAAAAAAAGAGGGUUAAUUUUCCACCUAUGCUCUACCCCUUCUCUAUAUAAAGCCUUAACCAUGGCCAUUUGUUAAGUUGAAAGUUUGGAGUCCGAGUAUUCUAAGUUGUAACUGCAACCUAAUCCUGGGUGAGUUUAAUAAAAAACCUAAAAUGGUCACCAAAGAACCCUAGUAGAUAGAAAGUAAAUGACAUCCCAAGGCUUAUUGUGGGAUGAAUGCCAGGCCAUUCUCCUUCGAGGCUCGUAUUUCUUGAAGGAUAGUAAGGGCAUGUUUGUUUGGGGGAACUUAUUUCUCCAUAAUAAAACAUCAUUUAUCACUGUAGCAAUCUCGUGGACGACGCACGGGAAGUUCUACGGUCUCAGGCACUUGUUGGAAAUUUGCCCUCCCCCCCAACCUUCGCCUUUUGGCUUUAAAAGAGGAACAUAUAUGUUCCAUGGCUAAGCCAGAAAUUUAGUUUUUGGAACUUUUUGGUGAUAAAAGUCCCUAAUACUUUUUCUUCCUCUCUCUCAUCUCAGAGCUUGCAACCCGUUGUCUUAACCUAGUAGUCUCUCUCAGGCCUGUCUCCAAGCUCACAAGCCCUAGCAAUGCCUUCUUCUCUCUCGUCUCUGCAACCAGGUAACGUAUUCUUCUUCUCUCAUCUUAUUUUUCCUCUCUCAUCUUAUUUUUCCUCCCCUCUCUUUCAUCUUCUCUCUCGUCCCAUCUUCCUCUGAUCUCUCUCCUAUGCAAUCUUUCUCUCCUCUUUCAUCUGUUUUCUCUCCUUACCUACUGCUUUCGCUCCAUCUCUCUCAUCUUCUACGUUUUACUGUAAACAUGAGGAAAGAAGUAAAGCCUCUACAAUUUACAAGUGUAACCAGUCAACUUGAAAUCUCUCUCUCACUCUUACAGAUAGCUCUUCGACAUUUCAUUUUGUGCUCUCUGCUCUCUCUCAACUUUUCCCUUUACCGAGAAACAAAGUUUUACGGGCAAUUUUAAGGAAGCGUUGGAUUUAGGUCGCUGCCCAAUAGCAUAGGACAGACUGCUCACAUUCAUUGACAUGUGCAUGGGGUAUUUUCAUCGUCUUUUAUUUUGUAUAUAAUUUUUAGUGUUUUUUUUUUGUACAGUUAGGUCUAAUGCACCUUUCUAUAAAAUUCAGCUCAAAAUAAUUUAUGAAAAAAAAUUAAAAAUUAAAGAGUGCCCAUAUACACCGGUCAUGAUGCUCAUAUAGAGUUUAAGCAUGUACCAAACCAUAAGAAAAUAUGAGAUACAACUAAUUUUAUUUAGAAACAUAGAAUUUAGAGAAGUUGAGAACUAAUUUUGUCAUUUGAAGGCACCAUAUAAACACUUUGCAUAUGUAUGCACCAUUGGUUUAAAAAAACGCCCAGUUGGAACAAAAAUGCCCAGUCCGAGCUGGAAAUUGGGUACCCCAUUCCAGUUCUACGUAUAUAGGAAAACAGCCUGGUCUAGAAGGAAACUAGUGGUUUUGCACAGUAAAAUGGCGAUCUGGAUCGAUUUUUAGCCAGUUCACUAUUUUUAAAAGGUUUUUUCACUGAUUCACUAUUUUUUCUGUACAAUGGCGAUCCAAGCUGUCGAUUCAUCUAUCCAAACCGGUUUUUGGGGUGACCAAUCCAAGUCACCAAAUCGUUUUUUUAAACCACUGGUAUGGAGGCAUUUCCAAAAGCUCUUCUGCCCUCCUCUUCUUAGAAUUGCUAUUUCUUCUUAAUCUCAUGCUUUACCCCAUCUUUCUUCAAUGUUAUCAUACCAAUAUCUAUUUACUUUUGUUGAGCCAUGAUCGAGUUGAAUAUUUAGUACCUGUAAUCCAUGGUUAGGUUUCUAAUCAAGCAGAAAUCAUUUGUUAUGGAAUGUUGCUUUUGAUAUAAUAUGCUAUAUGAGUUACGCAGAGUUUUUUCUUUUUUUUGGGUAACUCAGUGAGGGAGAGGCCAUGUACCCGUUUUUCAUUAAUAAAAAAUUGAAAAAAUUACAUCGUACUAUCUUACAACCCUACAAUAAGGUAAUUGCACCACAUCAUGAAGUAGAGGAAGGCUAAGAAAAUCUAGAGGCCUAGAGCGCUAAAUGGUGGCCUUCGCAAAAAUAGUAGCCUUUUUGGCAAGAACAUCAGUCACCAUAUUAGUCCCACAGUAAACAUGACAAAUGGUUCAUGAAUGAUUCUCAAGUCUAGACUUGCAAUUAACAACUAUGAUAUGAAGAGCCUAUUGCGCUUCACACCUACCCUGCAUAACCUAAAUAAAUAAGGAAGAAUCACUCUCAAUUUGUAGGGGGAGCAUUCUAUUUGAGUGGCUAAAUCAAUAUCCUCUUGUAAACCUCAAAAUUCUACAUAAUUAUUGGUAGCAAUUCCAAGAGGAGCUGAAAAAGGAGCAGCGAAAGAUCCAUCAUCCCGUCUCAAGAUGCCCCCACAACCAGCUUGACCUGGAUUAUGAAUAGAAGAUCCAUCAAUAUUUAGCUUAAAAUAUUAUGAGUGUGGAAAAGCUCAUGCCAGUGUUAUGGGUAACUUGAUUCUCUGCUGCCGCCACGUAAGUCGUAAAUUCUCAGUAAUUGCCUUUUCUGAGAUGUGGUAAGUCCAUGCUUUAGCAUCCGCCAAAUUACGAAUAUGGUUGGUGAUCCUCUGAGUCAGCUUCACAAGAGUGAGUUUCCUUCCUUGAAACAUAUGAUGGUUCCGAUCCUUCCAAAUCAUCCAUAUAGUUGUGAAGAAGAGAGAAUGCCAAAUGUUGAUAAUACCAUCAGACUUGAAUCUGAAUGCUAACCAUUUCCUAAGUAUAACUGCAAUAGGGCACAUGUAAUAAAGCAUUUCCCACAUUGCUAUGCUAUAGACCUCUAAAUACCUGCAAUAGUCAGCUACGCAGAGUUGGGAAGCAAUGACAUGUAUUUGCCCGAUUUACGUAGAACCCGAAAGCAAACGAAGGGAACUUGCCGUGUAUGCGUCCGGUUCGUAAGACUCAGCUGAGUUAGCAACACUCUUUCAAAGCCCAUAUUUUCCCAAAAAUGGAAAAGAGAUGAAAAUGGAUUUGAAGAAGAGCGAUAUAUGCAUAUGAUAUCAUUUUAUUUGAGAAGCUUGGAAAUAUAACUUCCAAAAUGCAGAUAAAUUUUUUCUUCCAUUAUUUUUUCAUACUUAUUUUUUGAUGUUCUCUCUCACAUAGAUAAUUCCGUGGGGUGGUACAUAUUGUGAUGCUCUAAAAAUUUUCUUUAUCCAUGAAGAGAAUUACGUUUUUGACCAAUUACUAUUUUUUAAAGAGAUUGUAUACUUUGAGAUCAUUUACUUUUGAUACAAGAAGGUCACGACUUUUUUUAGCCAUUGAAUGUGAAAUUUAAUAUAUUAAAAUGUAUUACAACUUUUGAAAAAACUUGUUUUGGACUUUGUGCUCAAUUAGUGACACAUCAUGACCAUCUGAUUUAACAUCCAAUGGUUCACAAUGAUUGUGACCUUCUUGCGUUCAAAGUAAAUAGUCUCGUCAUAUACAUUUACAAAAAAAAAAAAAAAAAAUUAGAAUGCUCUGGGUAGUAUUGUUGAUAGUGAUCAUUGUUCACGGCAGCAAAUUGUACAGUUUCUCCCAUGGGUAAAACACCUACUUAGGGGAUCUGUUUUGAGUUUCAAUUAGCAGUUUUGAAGAAAAUUUUGAUCUCGUGUCAUGAUUAACUCUAGAAGCAACUGAAGGCUAUAUACUCGAUGGACAAUACGAAUCAAAUAGAUCUAUUGGAUCCUUUUUCUCGCUUGAGAAUCUCUUCCCUUUCUUCACUCAAUCCCGAGGAGUAACUAGGACCAAUUCAGUAGCAGACCCAAAUGAAUAUUGGAUAUGGAAGUACGUGAAUAGAUGGAGAUCCGGGUGGGAUGAUGGCACAGACGGACUCCUUUAGGAUCGGGAACUAGAUGUAGAAUGGAAUACGCCCAUCGAGACAGGGCAAGCAAUAUUUAAGUAGGGCGAUCUGUUUGAUAGUGACGUAGGGCAGCUACUCUUCUAAAGGGCGGGCGACCACCUCUUUUGGAUCUAUUGAAGCGCGAUUUAGAUACAUCCUACCAUUCGGCUUUACAAGACAAUUACAAAAACAUUUAUCUAAAUGACAAGUAAAAACCGGGUGAUCUCUUGCUCUGUAUAACAGAAAACAUAAUCUAGGUGCGUUCAGCACUGGAACUGCUACAUGUUUAUUAUAACACCGGUCUUGCAAACCUCUGCAACUCAAGAACAUGACUGCAUGCUAGUUCAUUAUAGCUAACGGUCUACUAGGGCUUGUUGGAUAACACAAGUGAACUUCUUCUUUGUUUAAGAUAAGAUGAGAAGAGAGGUUACACUUUUUUUAAAGCCGAAACACUUAACGCUAUCCUCAAAGCUGAAAGAGUGAAGCUUGACUCACCUCAAAACUAGAAGUCUUUGGUUAUGCUGUCCUCAUUUCAAAGCAAUCCGCUCCCUUUUUAAUCUCAAAUCUGAGCCUAUACGAACAGAUUUGUGGGUUUCUCCUUUGAAACAAUAAAAAAUAUAAUAAUAAUACGUGGAGACUCAACAAUCAGCAGUUCCUGUUACGUGGUUCCCUUAAGGCACCGAAGGAGGCCAUAGGAAUUGCAUUAAUUAUACUGGUUCCGACAAGGAACACAGGUUGGUUUAAAUUGAUUUCCUAUCUGAAUAGACAAUUCCCGAUCAAGACCAUAGGUUUUUUUAGCACACAAGGUAAACUAGAUAUCUAGAUUUCAUCUAAAUGUAGAAUAUUAUAUCCUGAAGCCGAAAAUAAAAGAGCAAAUUUCCGAAACGCAAAUCUACUGAAUGUCAAACAGUCAACUGUGUCAUAAUUAAUUUCGUUUUUCAAUAAAGCAGGAGCACCCUUUUUCUCAAGUUACUGUGAGGAUCAAUAAGCCAUACACAUUUUUUAAUCCUAAGAAAAGUGUUAAAACAUACCUUUUAAUGAUUCACAAGAAUCUCUUGAUCGGUUUAAAGUCGAACACUCAUUCCCACUACUAAUUGCCCAAAAUUAAUGCGGUAAUAUUGGGUGGUUUGGAAAGGAGGGUCACAAAACAACACUCGUGGCACAAUAACAAGAAAAGCUUUGGUAAAGAGCUUCGUUUUCAGACAAAUAUGAUUUCUAUAUUAGUUGCCAUUACUAAUAUAUUCAAUUCGGUCCGUGCUACGUACGCAGGGCUAAUAGGAGUGUAUUUCAAUGAGAACGAGGAUUUACAUAAAAGUUCUAGGAAAAUACUUUCCAACGCCGGUGAGCGAAGUGAAUAACUUUUCCGUGCAACAUAUUGGUGCGGUUAAAAUCAAUCACAACGGAUUUAUUAUAUCUAUGGUGGUACGUAGUAUGUUUUUGGCGGUUGAUUUUUUCACAUAGUCCAAAAAAAUCAAACGACGACAGGUCUUUAGGUGAAAACACUUUUCAUUUUUGCGUAUGGGCAUUGUGUAGAGCUUUCCAAAGUUAUAUAUAUGGUCUGAAAUUGGGUUUCGACUUUGGGUUCGGGUCCAACAUAGACCCUUUAGGGUAAGGUCGGGCUUGGGUCGCGGUCAACCCAACUGGAGCCAACAUGGUAUUUUUAUGUGUAAGGUUCUAGGUAUGGAUUACGUUAGCGUAAUUUAUAAUUAUACUUAAAAAAUUUUAGAUAUUUAUAUAUCAUUGUUUUGUACAUAGAACAUUUUUUUAAUAAAGAUAUUUUUUGUUAUUAAAAGGGGUAUGACAUCAUUCAUAUAAGGUGAAACAUUACUUAUAUGGAGCAUACUAGUGUCAUUUAAUGCUCCAUGUGAGUGAUGUCAUAUCUCAUGUGGAUGGUGUCACCAUUCGUAAUAACAAAAAUACUCUUACUACAAAAAUAUUUCAUGUACAAAACAAGGAUUUAUAAGUAUCCAAAAUUGGUUGAGUAUAACUAUAAAAUGCUCUAUAGUGUACACACCCUAAUAUAACCUAAUAAAUAUAUAAUAAAUUAUAUUAUAAAAAAAAAGAUUGUAUAUAAUGAGACUAUCUACCUUUUAUACAAGGUGGUCACAAUUAUGUACAACCAUCUGAUGUGGAAUCUGAUAACUUAAGCGUCACAAAGUUCGAAAAAAUUUCUUUUGAAGUUUAAGCUUAGUUAAUGGAAUAAAUAUAGCCAUUGAAUUUCACAUCCAAUAGUUAAAAUUAAUUGUGAUCACCUUACACUAAAAAUAAAUGAUCUCAUUGUAUACUUUUUCCUAUAGGAAAAAAAAUGUAACAUUUUCUUUUGUACCUUUUCUUUUAUUAAUUCUAGGCCAAGAUAACUGGUUUUGGGUCGGGUCCAUAUCUAACCUAAAUCUAGUCUGCUAGGGUGCAGGUCCAAGUCAACCCGAACCAUUCCCAAUCCCGAAUCACCUUAACAUAUAUUAUUUACUUUGGCUUAUGUUCGAGAAGGAAAGAUGUUUGGUGAUUCGACCGAUGUGUCCAGUUUUCCGUUAAAAGGAUUUAGGAUCUCAAACACACCUCAAGUUACGGUGAAUUCAUUUUCACUUAAGAUUCACAAAUGUUGCGUAUUGGUGGUUUUGGAAGAAUUAAAAUGAAUGGUAAAAAAUACAAAGUGAACUAUUUUUAAAGCUCUAGACUGAGGAGUAUAAUGGAGGUAGAAGGUGAUUCCUUAAAUUUGAUGUAGGUGCUGUGGGCCUCUAAAUCUAUUUGGUUUUCAGAUUUUGGAUGUUUGUGAGAGGGUUAAUGUUUUCUUUGUUGGUCGAUGUCCAUGUAUUGUGUUUUUGGUUUUGUCUUUUGAUGUGUAAUUUAGCUUCUCAUAUCAAGAAAAUUUGAAUGACUUUUAUGCAAAUUAUAUUUUUCAAAGCUUAAUAUUUUAUUUUUUUAAAUUCAUAAUGGUAGUAGUGAAGAUGGCAUACUUCCAAAAUUUUGGAUCCAAAACUAUCUCCAACAUCAAAUUUUGGAUCCCAAAUCUAUCUCCAACGUCAAUUUCAGAGAAGUGGACUGAAUGUAAAAGUUGCAUCCAGCUUAACCCUAACUUAAAUAGAACAGCCUAUACUGGUUUUAGGUUGUCACAUAUAUAAGAAAGGUUAAUGAUGGAGGGCGUAGAUGAGACUGCGCACGCAAUUUUUAAGUGAAUAGUCCCAACAACUUUAGGGGUGGGUGGUUUGUAUAAAGCUAAGGCCCUAAACAAUCUAAGGUGUGGUGUACUUUCAGAUUGUGUCGAAAGAUGUUUUAGUAUUGUUAAUCUUUGUGAAAGCUUGAAAAUUCAUUUUUAUCUCUAAAUAUAAAAUUUAAAGCUCAAAAAAUAGUGUAGAUCAAACAAAUCUAUAAACACAUAAAAAUCUUAAAAAAUGGCAGUAAAAAAAAUGCAUUAUAAGAUGCACUAUUUUCAUGACUUGAAAUCUAUUUUUUCUCAUGUCCAUACAUCUUAAGAUUGAAAAGAUCGUUUCGACCAUUUUUUGAUAUUGAAACGACUACUUCUAGUGAAUUUUUGAAAUGUACCUUAAUUUGAUUGUUUAGAGCCUCAACUUUUAUAAAUGGUUUCCUUUGUAUGGUUAAAAUUGGGAUUUGACUUCUAUCAUGUCAACGACGUAACCACCCAAAUGAGUACGCAAACCGUGGCCAAGCUGUAAAUGAGAGCUCGAAUAUGCCAAUACACUUAAAAUGGGAUCUCGAGUGGGUGCGAAUGAGCACGAGAUUGAAAAAAAUAAAAGAAAAAAAUUAAAAAAACUAAAAUGUUAGAAAAAUAGGAAUGAAUAUAUUGCUUAGAAAUGAUUUUGAUAGUUUUAGGAUGAUUUGGAAUCUUACUUUUUUUUUUUUUUUGCCUUUUCUUAGUUUUUCUGGAAUAUUAAAAGAUACAAAUCAAAAUUUUCAUCAGUGCACACCUUCAAAUGAUUUCUAACUCUAAACACGACUGAAUGAAGGCGACCACUGCAGAGCAACGAAAGAACCGAGGUUUGAUGAGAGAGAGAAGGUCUUGUCACGUGCUGAGAGAGAGAUGGGCUUGUCAGGUGCACCCUGUGACCACGCAAUUUUGCUUGUAUUUGACGCAUGCUGUGCGACCCGUGAUCGCACAAAGCACACCCUCCCCUCCCUGCGGUCUUCUUCUCGAUGCAGACCCUCUACUGGACCUGAUAGCGUACAUAUCGAUGGGCAAUGAUAGUAAAUGGAAAAGUAUUAUUCUCAUCGCAAUGAUUUUAAUAGUCUUAAGGCACAAGGGUUGAUCUAAACGUCUAAUUGAUAAGCCAAGAAAUCGACAUAAAGUUUAACAUGGUUUAAAGUAUAGGCCCUUAAGUCUAAAGAAGCAACUAGAAAAAAACAUCCUUUCGAAUUAUUUGAUGACGGGCCAUUUUGCUAUCCCUUUGAAUAAGAGUACCUUGUUACACAUGUGUCACUUCAAUUCUAUCUUAUCCACUAAGCCAAAAGAUUUUAUGCUCCGGUUGGAGUAUGCAUGCUAUUGCAGGAGUAUACUCUCUAUUUACUACUUCCUGUAAAAUCCAAUUUUGAAGUGGUUGUAAGAUCCAAACCCAGUUUUUGGUGAUGUAAACUACCAAACACAUAGACUAACCUCCAUUUUAAAAAAAAAAAAAAAAAAAACCAAAUUGCACUAUCUAUGCACUUUGUAUCUAAAGAUGAAACAUAGGUCAUCCGAAUUUUGGAAGGUGAGAUCCAAGUGUAAAACAAAACAAAUUUUAAUUUUUAAAUUUUGAAAAUAAUUAUAUAGUGAUUUUUAGAUAGUUCGAAAAAAAAUUUAUUGAAAAAUCCUCUCAAUUAGGUUGGGAGUAUAUAUACAAUAUCCUCGUACAUAGUAUAUGCGCAUUCACUAAUAUCUAAGCACUUUGUUUCGUAGGAUUUGUGAUAUGGAAUUGCAACCAUCCACUUGUGUCCAAUAUAAAGUGUGUUUUAUCCUUGGUCCUAACUUCUUAAAGUGCAUGUAUAAUGAUGAUUCUGAAUAAAGGGCUCCAAUUUGAAGUUUUGAAUUUGGGUUAUCAAAUGUCAGGGUUAGAUGGGCCAUGGUCAAUGAAUAAAUACCCACCCACCAACCAACCCACUCAAUUGCAAGGCUUCAUAUUUAGUAGCGAUGUCACUUGGUGAAGGCAUGGCUUUUAUUUAUGCGUCGUUCAAUAGCCGACCAGGAUUAGCUUUAGCCAUUAAAAUUUUAGUGGGCCGUGAAGAGAUUCUCGAUCCAACCAUAUCUCUUUAAAUCUCAUUUUUUUCACUUUUGUCAAAAUUUUUACUGUUUAUUGUGUGUUAGUGCAAAUCAUUGCAAGUAUACACUUCUGUUCAAUUUGGAAGCCCGUCAAUGAAAAGUCAUUUUUAUAGUCAAAUAGUAUUUGAGUGAUAGGAUUGGCAAAAAUAAAAAAAAAACAUGGAAAAUUGUUUGAUGUCAGCUGGACCGCAUUUCUUCAAUAUACCUCUCAAAUCAAUACUCAAGAUGAAGGCAAAUAGGUAGUCCAUCCAUCUAAAAAUAAUUGUAACUAAUCGUUUAAAUAUUUUUUAAUAUAAUUAUCAUUUUUAAUUUUUAAAUAUUUUUUAUAUUUAUUAAAAAUUAAGAUCAAAUUGUAUUUUUUAAAAAUUAAGAUCAAAUUAUAUUCUCUAAAAAUUAAGAUCAAAUUAUAUUUAAAUAAAAUAUUUAUUAUCGGGCCUGCAUUUCUACAGUAUUAAGUAUCCCUUCAACCAAAUCCAUUUAUGAUUUGAUGUGAUUGAAAACGGCCUUCGAUCAAUGUCUUUAAGACUUAGACACCUUAUCUCAUGGUGAUCAAGGCGCGUUUGGAACCACAUCUUCGAGGAUACCCCAAGUUUUCAUUGUCUUCCACGGGAUUGGGAUCCACUUUUUAGCUUUUAAUUAUAAAUAAAGGGUAAGUAAAUACUGUGAUAUAUAUUUUAGGGAUUGUAUACAAUGAAGACAUUUGUGAUACGAGGCUAUCACAAUUUUUUAUAAUUAUUUGAUGUGAAAUUUAAUAGUUUGAGUGUGUCGAUUUGAUAAAUUGUUGUUUAGAAGUUUGAACCCAGAGAAUGGAAUAAAUAUAACCAUCUAAUUUCAUAUCCAAUGAUCAAGAUUAAUUGUGACCAUAUAUGGUUAUGUUGUAUAUUUUUUCAUCUAUUUUAUUUUAAAGCUUAUAUUUUUUUCUUUUCUUUUUUUUUAAAAGCAAUUCAGUCGAGAAAACAGCCCCUACCCGUUCUUUUAAAAAGAUUAUGAGUUCGAUUUCUUAAGGUGUUACUGGGGUAGUGUUAGUACUCGUUUUUUUUUAAGUCGAUUAAGAGCUAAAUUUUUUGUGGUGUUAGUAGUAGAAAUAAAAUGGAUACGGGGCGUGGGGAUGCUAUUGCCACUACCCAGCCUUUUUCCUAAUUUCUCUGUUAACCAACAGGACAGUGCAAGAAGACCUAGUUUUCACAAAUCAAAACCGCUUCUUUUAGAAAUCAAACACGCCCUCGGUGUCUUAUAACAUAGAUUCUAUUAUGAAGUCCAACAGACCAAAUUUGCGUAAGUGAGAGUGAGAGUGAGAGUGACAGUGAGGGAGAGAGCAACAAGUUGAAAGAGCAGCCCCCUAAGAGCGAGAAGGUAAACAAUUCACAGUGGCUCCAUGGUUUAUAAACUCAUUCAAUAUUUAUUUAUUCGCCGGAUCUCGGCUAUUAGGAAGACCACACAUCGCUCAGAACAAGUGAAAACAUAACGAGAAAAUGAGAUGCGACCUCUUUAACUGUAAACUCUCUCUCUCUCUCUCUCUCUCUCUCUCUCUCUCUCUCUCUCUCUCUCUCUCUCUCUCUCUCUCUCGUCGUCGUCGUACGUCGUCGUACGUCGUACGUCGUACGUACGUACGUACGUACGUACGUACGUCGUACGUACGUACGUACGUAANNNNNNNNNNNNNNNNNNNNNNNNNNNNNNNNNNNNNNNNNNNNNNNNNNNNNNNNNNNNNNNNNNNNNNNNNNNNNNNNNNNNNNNNNNNAGGAACGCUGCAACUUCUGUAGCCUCGCAGCGCUCACUACAACCACGUUGUGAACGUUCUUGUCAUACUGAAACUAGCCAUGAGAGCACACAAGUUCGCAUUAGUCUGAGUGAGAGAGAGAGAGAGAGAGAGAGAGAGGCAGAGGAAAUCAGAUACCAAGAACAUCUCCUGCCCUGAAGCGCUUGCCAGCAGGCCAGCUAACCAUGUUGAAAGUCCAGCCACUGCUAUCACCUACUGUAUAAGUGGUGGCAGCGGUGCUAACCUCCACAAGGCAUAUCAUCAUAAACACCAAAGCCACCAAGCUCAUUGCACUGCCCCUUCCCUGUGCCAUCUCUCUCUCUCUCUCUAACUUUACUCUAAUGCUCUCUCUCUCUAAAGCUUAGAGGUAAACAGAGCUUGUUUUAGAGUGAUGAGGAAAAGGCAGCAAGCGAGGGCUAAUUUAUAGGAUCGAAUGAUGGGUAAAAAGUCACUGGGAUUAGAAAUCCAUGCCUGAUAGAGUAGAUUGAGGUUUUUCUUUUAUCUAUGUGGACUCCUUUUCUCCGUCUUAUUUAGCCUUUAUUUUACCAUGCGGAUUAAGAAAAAGUUGGGGGACGAAGAUGUCGGCCAACGACCCACAUUCACAGUGGCUCUGAGGUUAGGUAGUUUCCACUUAUUAACUGCUGUCAACUAGGACGAAUAAACAAUUGAAAGGAUUUUAUACUCCAAGGGAGCAAAAUGACGAUUUGCUCCUUAAAUAUAAUCCUAGAUUGAGUGUGUUUGGGAUGGUUUUUAUUCCUAUCAAGGAAAGAAAUCACAUCCCCAUAUUACCGAAAAGAAUAUAAAGUAUUCAAUUUUUGGGACAAGAUGGGGUUUUUUUUUUAAUAAUGGGGUAAAGAUGGUUUCUUUUUUUUGAAAAAAAAGAAAAGAAAGACAAAAAAAUACACCCCUACGUGUACGAGAGAAAAUGAUGUGAAUUGAUUAAGUCGGGCUAUCUAAUUUUUGAACGAGCAAAUUUAAAUAUAAAUCUGAAAAUCUCAUAUAAUGAUGCAAAAAUGAAUUCUAAAUUUCCAAAUAAAGAAGAUGUUCCCGAGUAUAUCUCUAGCCCAUGGGAAUAACUCUAGUGUGCUGAUGUGCUCCCAAGCAGUACACCAUAAAAUUAUUAUUUCAAGGCGUUAAAGCCGGGGCUAAAAUAUUUAAUAUUGUGAUGGGUUUUUUGGUGAUAUGGUGGGAAAGGAUCCAGAGUUCCGUCAAACUGUAUGACUCUCUUUUGUUUGUGAACGGAUUCGUCAAACUGUAUGGCUCGUGAGUCCAAAAGUGCCAGAGCACAAAAUAAGGGCGAGUCGUCCACAUUUAAUGGGUUAGUGUGGCCGUUGAUGUCAUUUUCGACUCACUCCCCUGCUUUCUUUGCGACACGAGAGGAUGGGAGGACUUAAACGUUCUUGGACCCUCUCUCUCUUCCAAUAUGCCUUCUUGCUCGCAUCACUAAUUCAUUUCAGGUAAAUUCACGUAUUUUAGAGCUUUUUUUUACCGUUAUAAGGGUAUGGCUAAAACUUAUCAAUUGGAUGGAGGAAUCUACACUUUUUCAAAUUUAACCCGGAUCGGAUGUUUGAUUUACCCCCUCCAAAACUUGCUCUUUUCUCUCUCUCCUCUCUCGCUUGCUCUCAGUCCUCUCUCUCCCUUGCUCUCAGUCCUCUCUCUCCCUAAUUCAAAGUCGCCUCUCUCUUUCAAAGCCUUAUUCUUAUUACAUGUAAAUCUCACUCUCUCUCUCGAAGCCCUACUCCCCGUACCUGCAGAUCUCAUUCUCUCUUAUAGAUUUGGGAUUGUUUUGAGGAAAUCCCAUAAUAUACAGUCCCUUUAAUAACAUAACUUAAAGAUGGAUUUUUAAGGUCUAAAAAAAAAAACAAACAGAGAACUACCUGCUGUACACCGUUCACGUCCUGAUUCGGCUGAUUCAAAAGAGAGAGGAAAUGGGAGUAGGGCUUUUAGAGAGAGAGAGCAAUAUUGAACCAAGUUGAGAGGGAGGGGACCGAUGGCUGGCGACACUGAAGAGAGAGAAAGAAGAGAUCAAUUUUCCGAGGAGGUAAAUAAAGCGGUCCAAUUUUUUGACAAGUUUUAAAAAAAUAAUGAUAAAAAAACCAGUGCAUACAUAAAUUUCCCUUCUUCUAAAUAUAAGGUUGCUGUUAUGGUAUUAACAUCCGCUACAACCAAAAUAGUGGCGGUAGUAUUUGAAAAUAACGGCAUUUUUGCCACCAAAAGAAGUCUCCCACAAGAUCAGGCUUUCUUCUUCUAAUGUCGGCUAGUCAAAAUAUAACAGGGUGUACCUGACAUUUAUAGCUUUGGGAUACGUGUUGAAUUCGAAAUUGGGCGGUAUACGAAACACAAGCAUUUAUUGUGUUGUUGUCUUGAGUGGUUCAAGAUAUUUUUUGUUUUAGAAGUGUGGAUCGGAAAUAUUUUGAAAAAAUUAAAUAUUGACGGAAGUAAUAAGUAAAGAUAAGGGAACUACUAGUUUUAUUAAAGGUAUUAGUUUUUUAAUAAAAAAAAUAAUCGAACAAAAUUCAUGUAGCCGAUCCCAAAUAAUUCAAAUAAGGAUAUGAUAAUGAUGAUCAUGGUUUCAUUUGAAAAUACUUUGGGCUAACUAGCGUCCAAAGGCGCAAAAACUGAAAAGAAAAUAAACAAACAAGAGUGCAUUGUGGGAUCUAUCGACAAACCAUACUGCAUUACCUUCAAUAAGGAUAGAAAAAUAACCAAUAUCAUUUUGAUGGUUCAUGAGACAUACAUUCAAGGAAGGUAGAAUGUAAGCUUGACUCGUAUAGAAGCUUGAUUUUGAGAAAGCUUAUGAUAAACUUGAAAGAGCUAUUUGAUGGAAGUUCUCUUGAGGAUGGGCUUCGGUGGCCGAUGGAAAAUGUGGAUCUUUAGUUGUAUUUUUUGGGCCCAAUAUUCAGUUCUCAUGAACAGUUGGCUUUUUCAAAGCUGCUAGAUGCAUCAAGUAAGGGUAUCCGUUAUCCCCGUUCUUGUUCUCCUUUGUUGCUGGGUCCUUGAGCCUCCCGGCUAAUUCUAUGUAUGGAAAAAAAGACUCCUAAAUGGCUUCCCCACUUCUACUCAUGGACGUAUUGUAUCUUAUCUGAAAUAUGUAGAAGACACAUUAUUCUUUUGCAGCGCAUCCUUUGAAGAAGUUCAAAAUUUCGGGCUUUUCCUCAAGUGCUAUUAGCUUAUCUCUGGAUUGAAUAUCAAUCUUCCUAAAACAAAGUUGAUGGGUAUAAUUGUGAAGAUCAUCAGUUGCAAGUUUGGGCUAAUUGGAUGAGCGGCUGUGAGUUAGAAUUUUCCCGUGUAACUAUUUGGUACUUCCCUUCUUCAACAAUAGGCCCUCGAUAUCUAUCUGGAACCUGCUGUAGAAAGGUUUCAAUAUAAACUAGAUUAUUGGAAAUUUUGGUACCUCUCCCUUGGCGGUCACAUCACCUUACUUAAAGCCACCCUUUCCAACCUCCCGGUUUAUCGUUUAUCUUUAUUCAAAGCUCCUAAUAUCAAAAAACUUGAAUUUAUGAUGAUUUUUUUUUAUGGAGUGCAUCAAUGCACAGGACGAAAUAUCACUUGGGGAAUUGGAUCUAGGUAUGUUUUCCCAAAAGGGAGCAGGGACUUGGAAUUAGGAGACUUAAACCAUAAAUGAAACUUUAUUAACUAAGUGGUGGUGGAGACUAGCUAUGAAUAGGGGAUCUUUGUGUGAGUUGAUUGUUAGAGAAAAGUAUGGUUUUGAGUCUUGACUGUGAGCGGACCACAGUUAAUAGAGCAAGGGCCCAUUUAUGGAAAGGCAUUAAUGCCUGUAGAGCUAUCUUCCUUACCUUUAGCGGUUCUAUUGGGCAAUGGUACUACCACAUGUUUCUGGACUGCUAAGUGGUGAACUGACAUGCCUCUCAAGAUAUGGUUCCGGAACACUACCUAAAGUAGGCAUUUAUUUCGGACAUGGUAAUAGGGAGGGGAUUUAGCACAAUGUGGGAUAUCAGGUUAAGGCAUAGAAGAGUCCAUGAGAGUAUUGAGAAAGCAGUUUACUCUUUUGCUACGCUUGCUCCUCACAUCAGAUAGAGAGGAUAGAAUGGUUUGGGAGUUGAAUCCAAAUGGCAUCUUCUCGGUUACAUCUCUUUAUGCCAGACUUAGUAUAGGCUGUCUCCUUCAGCACAAACCUCAUGCCAACAAAGUCUGGAGCUUUAAAAUCGUACACAGGUUAAAAGCUUUCCCCUGGCUAGUUGUUUGGGACAGACUCUUAUCUCUAGAGCAGCUACAAAGGAGGGGUUUCCUCUCGCCAAACUGCUGCACUCUCUGCAAACAGGACAUGGAAACAAGUCGUCAUCUUUUCUUGCACUAUAAAUUUACUCCUGAGCUUUGGGAAAGGAUCCUGGAAUGUUUUCAAGUUGUUUGGGUUAUUCUUAACAUCAUUACUCAACUAUUUACAGUAUGGGUCUCACCUCCUUUCACGAAAAUAGGCUUUCAACUAUGGAAACUGGAAAUUGCAGUAGUCUGUAUGCAGAUUUGGGGAGAAAGAAAUGCUGGUAUUUUUUUAUAGUAACCAUUGCUCUAAGGAAGUGGUUAAUUUUAAGGCUGAAUCAAUGUGAGAAUCUUGAAUUCAAGCUAAUAUAGAUUAAGGCCCUGAGAAGAUAACUUUAGCAAACUAUGUAUCCUCAUUUGGUACGACAGAAAUCGACCAUAGAGAACGUCAAACUGGGAGCCACUUAAGAUAAGGUGGUAUAAGUUGAAUUUUAAUGGCAGCUCAAAGUGUGACCCUAAAUCUCCUGGCAGUAUUCUCUCAGUAGGUGCAGGUGAUAUACUAAGGGACAAUUCAUGAACCACUAUCAUCUCUUAUUAUAUACCCCUCCAACUGUGGACAACAGUUGAAAUAGAACUACGCGCACUUCAUAUGGGGGGUUUUCCAAGUUGCACCAACCUCACAACAAUAUCAUUAUCGUAGGAGAUUCCUCCAAGUUGCAUGUUUUUUGCAACUCAGACUCCACACCUUCGAGAUGGAGACAUUUGGUGGAUGACAUUCUUUCUGCAUUGACCAAUCCUCUUCUACCAUGUUUUUAGGGAAAUGAAUAGUGGAUGACAUUCUUUCUGCAUAGACCAAUCCUCUUCUACCAUAUUUUUAGGGAGAUGAAUAGUGAAGCAGACUCCCUUGCCAGAGCCAGCUAAGGUUACUUCUCUUUUCAUUUCUCGUCUCUUCUUCUCUAUUCUUCUUCUCCUUAUCUGUUCCCAAUCUCUUCUAGCCCUUCACACCCUCUACUCACCCUUCUCUUUUCUCCCUUUGUCCUUUCACCAUGCUUUUAUUUUUCCUCUGCUUUUGUUUUGUUUUCCUUAUGUAGAAUCAUUCGAUGUACUCUGUUAUUUUUAGAGUGCACCAUGCAUGGACAUGAGAAAAAAUUGAUUUUAAGUUUUGAAAAUAGUGCAUCUUAUAAUGCAAUUUUAAACUGUCAAUUUUCAAGAUUUUCAAGUUUUUUUUAGAUAUGCUCAAUCUACACUAUUUUUCAAACUUGAUAUUUUACAAUUAGAUAUGAAAAUGUAGUUUUAGGUUAUCACAAAGAUUUUCGAUAUUGAAACUACAUUUUUCGACACUAUUUCUUAAUGGAUUGCAACCUCGGCACUAUACAAACGGCACCCAUUUUUUAAUGGAUUUGCAAAAAUACACUACCGUUGAAUUUGGAAGCUCGUGAAUCAAAAAUCAUUUUUACAGUCAAAUAGUAUUGAGUGAUAGGAGCAAAAAAAAUACAUUAUUAAGUUUUGGAAAAAUUACAAAUAACUCUCGAGACUAGACUUUCUAUGCAAGUUACCCCCCCCCCCCUUAAAAUUUUUUUCACCCCACUUAAAAUUAUUUUCUUACUUUUUUUUCCCCCAAAAUAUAUUUUUCUAGCAAAUAACCCCCAAAUAAAUAUAUAUAUAUAUAUUUUUGACGAAAAUACCUUUUUUCGUACACAAAAAUUUAAUUUUGGUCGGACAUUCACAUAGGUUUAUGUGGGUUAUCCGACCGCUCUUUAACAUUGUCGGACCCGUUAAACUAAAAAAAGUGGUGGGCUGCUUUUUGACAUUAUUGGACCGUACUUUGGGCCUAUUGCUGAACUGCGUGGGCCAUUGUUGGACAGCUUUUUGGCCGUGCAAACUGCAUGGGCUUAUUGCUGGACUGUUCUUUGUCAGUCUUGGACCGCCACUGCUAUUUAUUGGACUGACAUUACACUACCACCCGUCUUAAGAAUACACCGGACCGCCUUUUCAUGGGAAAAAGGACAUAGAUGCGUGGGUAAAAGUAAUGGAAGGUAGUUUAGCCUCUUUUUUUUUUUGUUGGGGAAUAUUUGUCAAGAAAGUUUAUUUUGAAGUGUGAAAAGUGAGAAAAAAAAAAUUUAGUUGAAGGUUACUUACAUCGAAACUCUAGUCUUGGAGGUGAGAUUAUUUGUAAUUUUCCCUUAAGUUUCCCUUCCUCAAUUGCCAUAUAUGAUGUGACUGAAAACGGCUUGUGUCAUUCUCUUUAUAGCUUAAACACCUUAUCUAAGGGACCUAAAGGCUCUAGUCGUAUUUGAUUUCUGGAAACCACAUCUUCUAGGAUACCUAAGUAUUACGGUCUUCCACAUAACCAUAUCCACUUUUUAGCCUAAAAUAUAAGAUGAGUGGAUACCAAUGGUUUAAAAAACGGAUCGGUGACUCGGAUCGGGCUUCCAAAAAAUCGGAUCGACGAAUCGGCGAUUCGGAUCGGGAAUCGGGUGAAUCGGUCAGAACAAAGCUUAAAAAAAAUCCUAAAAAAUUAUUAAAAUUCAUUAUAAAUAUUGUUUUUUAGGAAUUCAAUAAGAAAUGAGGGUACUCCAUUAAGAAUUUUCAUGUUUUUGAAUGAAUAUGCGAAUAUUGAUAUGUUCUUUCCCUGCAUGAACCACCAUUCAGCAUUUAAUUUACAUCACACAAAAGGAUAAACAUAUAAUUAUCAUGGAAUAAGUAUAUCAACAUACAUGAACUACAAUAAAGCAUAAAAUUAGUAACAUAUGAUCUAAAAAUAAAAUGAUAGACGACGUUAUUGUUCUUCUUGGUCACACUGGUGCUAUUGAUUGAAUUCGUUUAACAAUUCAUUGAUUCGAUCUAAAAACGAAUCAUCGAUAUUAGCAGGCGUCUGACUAUUCCCAAAUCCCUGAGUGUUAAUGUUUUGUUGUGUUUCCAAUCUAAAAUCCCCGAAGAUUGUCCAUCCUUCAUGCUCACUUGCACUGUCGUGCUCAUCCCUACACUGUUGCUGUUGGGACUCGAUAUGUGAAUAAUAUGGCUGGGAUAGGGUGGCCUCAGAAUCAUCAUCUCUCUCNNNNNNNNNNNNNNNNNNNNNNNNNNNNNNNNNNNNNNNNNNNNNNNNNNNNNNNNNNNNNNNNNNNNNNNNNNNNNNNNNNNNNNNNNNNNNNNNNNNNNNNNNNNNNNNNNNNNNNNNNNNNNNNNNNNNNNNNNNNNNNNNNNNNNNNNNNNNNNNNNNNNNNNNNNNNNNNNNNNNNNNNNNNNNNNNNNNNNNNNNNNNNNNNNNNNNNNNNNNNNNNNNNNNNNNNNNNNNNNNNNNNNNNNNNNNNNNNNNNNNNNNNNNNNNNNNNNNNNNNNNNNNNNNNNNNNNNNNNNNNNNNNNNNNNNNNNNNNNNNNNNNNNNNNNNNNNNNNNNNNNNNNNNNNNNNNNNNNNNNNNNNNNNNNNNNNNNNNNNNNNNNNNNNNNNNNNNNNNNNNNNNNNNNNNNNNNNNNNNNNNNNNNNNNNNNNNNNNNNNNNNNNNNNNNNNNNNNNNNNNNNNNNNNNNNNNNNNNNNNNNNNNNNNNNNNNNNNNNNNNNNNNNNNNNNNNNNNNNNNNNNNNNNNNNNNNNNNNNNNNNNNNNNNNNNNNNNNNNNNNNNNNNNNNNNNNNNNNNNNNNNNNNNNNNNNNNNNNNNNNNNNNNNNNNNNNNNNNNNNNNNNNNNNNNNNNNNNNNNNNNNNNNNNNNNNNNNNNNNNNNNNNNNNNNNNNNNNNNNNNNNNNNNNNNNNNNNNNNNNNNNNNNNNNAAAACAUUCGAUCAUGGAUUACAAAAAAUUCUAUCAUGGGUUAAAAAAAAAAAACAAAAAAACAAAAAAUUCGAUCACGGAUUACAAGAAAAAAAAACAAACAUUUCGAUCAUGGAUUACAAAAAAUUCGAUCAUGGAUUACAAUAAAUUCUAUCAUGGGUUACAAAAAAACAAAAAAUUCGAUCAUGGAUUACAAAAAUACAAAAACAAUUCGAUCAUGGAUUACAAAAAAUUCGAUCAAGUAUUACAAAAAAAUCUAUCAUGGAUUAUCAAAAAAAAAAAAAAAAAAUUCCGUACGGGACUCGCCGAUUCAUUGUUCGGACUCGCCGAUUCCGUACAGUGAAUCUGCGAUUCACUGUACAGAAUCGUCCGGUUCUCUUUAGAACCGGACGAUUUUCGAUUUUUUAACCGAUACGAUCUACUUUUUGCGUUUUCCGAGUCGAACCGGGCGAGUCCGGUUCGACUCGGCGUUUUUUAAAACGCCGGUGGAUACCAUGAUAUCCAUUUUGCUAUAAAACUUCUUUAUUAUCAAAACAGAAAAGUGCUAUAGGGCUGGAAGAAGGGUUUUCAAAAAUCAAAUUUGCAUCUUCUAGAAAUCAAACACGCCCUUAGCCUCCUAGAAAUCAAACACGCCCUUAGCCUCUUAUAACAAGGAUUCUAUUGUGAAGUCCAGCAUGCUUAGACCAAAUUUGUGACUUGUUUGUGAGAGAGAGCAACAAAUUGAAAGAUCAGCCCCAUAGGAGCGAGAAAUUUAAACAGACAAUUGUCUGUAUAAAUCAUUGCAAAUAUACACUUCCCUUGAAUUUCGUAGCAACGAGAAGUCAUUUUUAUAGUCAAAUAGUACUGAGUGAUAGUCAUGGAAAAAAAAUAUUAUUAAGUCCAGCAUGCUUAGACCAAAUUUGUGACUUGUUUGUGAGAGAGAGCAACAAAUUGAAAGAACAGCUCCAUAGGAGCGAGAAAUUUAAACAGACAAUUGUCUGUAUAAAUCAUUGCAAAUAUACACUUCCCUUGAAUUUCGUAGCAACGAGAAGUCAUUUUUAUAGUCAAAUAGCACUGAGUGAUAGUAAUGGAAAAAAAAUAUUAUUAAGAUUUCCCUUCCUCAAAUCCCAUAUGAUAUGAUGUGAUGUGACUGAACACGGCCUUCAGUUCUCCUGUUUAUGACUUUAACACCUUGUCUCACGAGCAUAAGGGGCGUUUGAUAUCUGGAAACUACAUCUUUCUAAAUACCCCAAGUUUUACGGUCUUCCACACCGAACUUGGGGUAUCCACUUUUUAGCUUUGAAUAUAUUUUAUUAUAAAACUUCCCUAUUAUCAAAUAGAAAAGUGGAAGAGGCAUCGAUUUUCAAAAUUCAAAUCCGCAUCUUUUAAAAAUCAAACACGCCUUUAGUAUCGGAUAAAAUAAAUUGUAUCAUGAAGUCCGACAUCCUUAAUAGAGAGAGAGAAAGAGAGAGAGAGAGAGAGCACGAAAUUGAAAGAUCAGGCCCAUAAGCAACACACAGUGGAUCCAUGGUUUAUAACCUCAUUUAUUAUUUAUUUAGUAGCCGGAUCUCAGGACCUCACAUCUAAAAUCAUAACCAGAAAAUGAGAUGCGACCUCUUUAACUAUAAUUUCUCUCUCUAUGCAGCAUUGACUUGGACCUUCAUUCCACUUUGGCAGUGGCCGGGAAUGCUGCAAAGGAAGAAAUUGGCACCCCUUCUGAGAGUGAUGCGAUCGCUGCCGGAACGGUAAGUCCUAGAGCCACGAGGAACGAGGCAGCUUUUGUAGCCUGCAGCGUUCACUGCAACCACGUUGUGAGCGCUAUUGUCAUACUGGAAAACUGCCAUGAGAGCACACAAGUUCGCAUUAGUCUUAGAGAGAGAGAGAGAGAGAGAGAGAGAGAGAGAGGANNNNNNNNNNNNNNNNNNNNNNNNNNNNNNNNNNNNNNNNNNNNNNNNNNNNNNNNNNNNNNNNNNNNNNNNNNNNNNNNNNNNNNNNNNNNNNNNNNNNNNNNNNNNNNNNNNNNNNNNNNNNNNNNNNNNNNNNNNNNNNNNNNNNNNNNNNNNNNNNNNNNNNNNNNNNNNNNNNNNNNNNNNNNNNNNNNNNNNNNNNNNNNNNNNNNNNNNNNNNNNNNNNNNNNNNNNNNNNNNNNNNNNNNNNNNNNNNNNNNNNNNNNNNNNNNNNNNNNNNNNNNNNNNNNNNNNNNNNNNNNNNNNNNNNNNNNNNNNNNNNNNNNNNNNNNNNNNNNNNNNNNNNNNNNNNNNNNNNNNNNNNNNNNNNNNNNNNNNNNNNNNNNNNNNNNNNNNNNNNNNNNNNNNNNNNNNNNNNNNNNNNNNNNNNNNNNNNNNNNNNNNNNNNNNNNNNNNNNNNNNNNNNNNNNNNNNNNNNNNNNNNNNNNNNNNNNNNNNNNNNNNNNNNNNNNNNNNNNAGAGAGAGAGAGAGAGAGAGAGAGAGAGAGAGAGAGGGGCAGAGGAAAUCAGAAAUCAGAUACCAAGAACAUCUCCUGCCCUGAAGCGCUUGCCGGCAGGCCAGCUAACCAUGUUGAAGGUCCAGCCACG